GAAGAAAAGAUAUAGUAAAGCAAAAACUUUCACAUGCCACACUGCACGAUCAUGCAGUGUUUAUUAUUCCAUUGAUUAUUUAUUUGUUCAUUUCCAUACACACAAUUAAAAACAGAGUCUAAGGGACUUUGUUUAGUCACAUGCAUGAUACAUAGUUAUACUUGCUCAGUUCUUAAUGACCUCCUCCACCUCAGAGUUGUGACAUGCUUUAUAGCAGAAUUUAUGAGUAUCAAAGCACUGACACUGGGGAGGAUAAGAUAGUGCACAAAUGCAACUGUCGCAUGCUGAGUGACAAGUUUCUCCAACAUCAACACAGCGACACGUAGGAGGGUCUGAUUUUGUGCAAAGGCAGGUAUCACAACAUGCUGAUUUGACAUCAUCACCAUUGGAGAGCACUUGAGUUAUGAAGGAAGUUGAAUCAAAACGAGCGUUAACAACAUUUGCGGCGAAGCUCAAGAGGAAAACCAUUAGAGCUAACUUCAUCAUUACCUUCUUAUUCAUCAACUCCAUUCUAACUCUUUUUCUCUUUCUUACUUUCUCUCUCUCUCUUUCUUUAUUUGCCUUGUGAAAAAGCAUGAAGCUACAUAGAUCUAUUUAUAUUGGUAUUUUUAUUCAAUUUUAUUAAUUUAAGUAUGUUUAUAGGCGUAAUUAUCCUCUAUUAUAUUAUUAACUUUUGGUUCAUCUUUCGUACGUGUAGACAUUUUUCUGACGAAAUGCAUAUCUGUAGACAUAAGGCCAUGCCAUGUAUAAGAACAUGUAUUAUUCAUUAUUAUAAUUUACACGUGUACCUAUUGCACUAAAAACUAAAUAAUUAACAAUUAGAGAUUACAUUAAUAUAAUUAAAUAAUUAACAAUUGAGAGGCAACAAUAGCAUGAAGCUACAUAGAUAUAUUUAUGUAGGUAUUUUAAAUCCAUUUUAUUAAUAUAAGUGUUGUCCUUAAAAAAUAUUAAAUUUUUUUUCUGUCUCACUUGUCACUUGUCAAUUUUUUUCUGGUGCAUGUGACUAAUAAGCAUAACAUUUAUUUUUUUCUUUCAACGAUUCCAUUUAAUCGAGGAGAAUAAUAAGAGAGGGUUACUUCACAAAAUUAUUCCUUCUUUUUUUUUUCAAAAAUCAUUAAAAGAAAUAUAUUCUCCUCCUAUAUCAUAUCUAACUCUUUUUAUUUUUUUAUUUAAUUGAUUUUCAACCUCGACUUUGUAUAAGAUAAAUUUAUGAACGCUUCAUCUUUAUGUUUUAACAAAUAAGCUUUAGUGAAUCUUGAACAAUCAUCUAUAAAUGUUUUAUAAUAAUUAUUUCGUCCUCUAGAUGUAGUUUGCUUUAAGUCUCCUUAAUCAAUACGAAUUAGACCAAUAAGAUCAGAUUCACAUUGCACAUACAUAUAUUUUUUGUGUGUUAAUUUUGAUUCUAAACAAAUAUCACAUUGACCAGAUUGCUUAUUAUUUAAAGUAAUCAUAUCAAGAAAUUGUAUUGUAUUAAUAUAAGAAGAAUUAACAUGUCAUAUAUCAUAAGAAUCAAUCAAGUAAGCAUAAGAAGAAAUUUUAUUAUUCAUAACUUCAUAAAUGUUCAACACAAAGAGUCUCGGGUCACAAUAACUUUUUCCACACAAAUACAUUAUUCUUUGUCAUUAUAAUCUUGUUAGAUUCAAAUGACCCUUUAACCGCACCAUUGCUCAAAAGAGCCACAUAAAUUAAAUUAGUCCUAAUAUUAGACGUAUGUAAUACUUCACUUAAAGCCAAUGUCUUUCCUGAUGUGAACUUUAAUAUAACUUUUCCUUUUUCUGAAAUUGCAACAGUUUGAGAAUCGCCCAGAUAAAAUCGUUCUUCUCCAUCCUCCACAAUAGGUAAAGGCAUCUUUAUUAGCACAAAUGUGCCUAGUAGCCCUAAAGUCUAUUACCCAUUUGUUCGCAUCAGUCACAAUAUUUGCUUGAGCAAUGACAACAACAAUAAUAUCACCUCCUUCAGCCAAAUUAGCUUUAGAAGGAUUGUCAUUCCUCUUGCAAUGUUUGCAUUGAGGUGCAUGAUGACCUGACUUAUUACAAACGUAAUAUUCUUCUCUUUUUUAAAGUGAGAUUAGUAACACAAGGGAUAAAAUUAUUAUUAUUAUUAUGACCAGAUUUAUGAUCGGGUUUGUGAUCGUACCUCUUUUUGUAAAACUUAUUACUAGUGUUAUUAUGGACCAAAUUUGCUCGAGAAACAAAACUUUUUUCCUUGGUAGCCUUGCUCUCCUUUAUAUUUGUACCCUCGAUAAUGAUGUGUGUGAUCAAAUCUGCUAAAGGUAAUUUCUUUUGCUUAUGUUUGAGUUGAUUCUUGCAAUCCGUCCAUGAUUCCAACAUCCUCUCAAUGAGAAUUCCAACAAUGAAUUAACCUGGCAAAGUUAUUUUCAACUUUCAGUUCUUCUAACAAUUUAUGAUACUCGUUGAUCUGCGCCUUUAUAUCUUUAUCUUCCGACAUUUUCCAAUGAUAGUAAUUUCCGAUCAAAUUUUUUUCUCUUCCAGCGAUAUAAUUUAGAUUCACCGAAUCCCAUAUCCAUUUUGCUUCCUUGUAUGGGCAGUAGAAAUCAAACAAAUUGUUAGAAAGAGUACUUAAUAUUGUGUGUCGACAUACCUUGUUUGCAUGUGCCCAUUGAUCGAUAAAUUUUUGAGUUGCAGACGAUGCUGGUUUCAAUUCUUAGAGAGCAUAUGCAACACCAUGCAUGUCAAGGAUGAAGUGAACAUGCUCAUACCAUCUGCGAAAGUUUUGGCCAUUGAAAACUUCAAUUUUUGACACAUUGGGGAAUGAUUUAGUGUAAUUGAUAUUCGGCACAACGAGAGGUGGUUGUUGUUGAAUAGUUUCAACAUUGUUGAUUUGAGGUUGACGGUUGGAGUCAUCACUGGAAUUGUCUUUGAUAGACAAAAUCCUCGAGAUUGUUGAAUAAUUUGCUAUGAAGACCUGUAAAAUAAGAUUGGGUUAAAUAAUCUGAGACGCGCUGACCGCGUUGUCCUCAAGGAUUUUCCACGUAAUACGCUAACCCUUUAGGAUUUAUCCGAUUCUUCUCAGUAAAUCGAGGAUACAAAACUCGCAAGAAAAAUUAUUUGAGCUAUUAGAAAUUAAUCCAGAAUUAAGAAAAAUCAAAUUAAAAAACGAUUUUUUAAAUAGUGUUUUUUCUUGUAUUAUGUGCAAAGCCUCACUUGUCUACUUCUUUUUUUGUCCUUUCUAUGUAUUAUAUAUUCUAGUAGAGAAGAAUAGAAUAAUAAUCAAUAAAAAUCAAUAAAUGAUUUCAUUACUUUUAGAAUAUCACAUUUUAUCGCCAUUAUUCUGAAUAAAGAUUUUAACGUCAAUGUAAUAACAGAAUGCAAGUAAUAAUAUUUUGUUACUUAAUUUGAAAUUGAAAAAUAUUAUAGAUAUUGAAUGACGUUUUAAUUUUAUUUACAUUUUUUAUUUUUAAUAUUAUACACACAUGUUAAUUUAUCGUUUUUAUUAAAUACAUCACUAUCAAACUUGUACUCAUUUUAAAAUAAAUGUUUGUUUAUUUAUUAUCUCAACAAUAAUAUCUUUGAAUUUUUUUUAAUGUUUUUAAAAACUUCAAAUGACAUGAUAAAUUAUUUUUUAUUAGAAAUGUGAGUAAACAGGUAUGGAUAUGAGUACUUAGGUACGCAUAGGGUACGAGGACAAAUAUAAAUAUUGGUGCCCAUGCGAAUAUAGACUCGGGUAAGGAGAAUUUUUUAAACUGCAGGUACGGGAACAUGUACUAUGCUCAAACCAUGCUCAUCCCACAAAUCCUAGACCAACCAAAAGAAGACAUGGAACCGCGGAAGCUAUGAGUGAAGGUGCUUAGUGGAAAUCGAAACCCUGGGAAUGGGAUAGCGAUUGAGUUCGCAACUCCUAAGAUUGCCAAUGGUGAGAUUGAAAUCGAGAUAGAAGAAGCUGACAUAGAGACUAAGGUAAAGUUUUGGGACUCUGCACUAAUAAUGUAUGUCAUAGGUGGUGAAGUGGGAAUGAAUGUUGUUAAGCAGUUUAUGAUGACGAAGUGGAACUUUGUAAAGCUUCCUGACAUGUACUAUAAGGAUGAACGUUACUUAAUUUUGAGGUUUCACUCCCAUCUUGAUAGGGUUGCAGUGAUGUUGAGGGGCCCGUAUACUAUCAUCAAUAUGCCUAUGUUGUUGAGGGAAUGGAAAACAAAUUUCAACCUCAAGAAUGAUAUGUUGUGAAACCUCCCAAUCUAGGUGAAAUUUCCUCAAAUCCCUCUCCAUUUUAGUGGAGGUAGACUUCACCCAAAAACUAACAAAUGAAAUCACCAUCAAAUAUGCAUAAGGGCGCAAAAUGAAACAACUGGUUGAAUACAAAUAGAAACCCCCUAGUGUGAGAAAUGUCAGAAAGUUGGACACAAUUGUGGAGCUCAAAAGCAGAAACCAACAACAAGAUAAUGGGUCCCAAAAAAUUCUCAACAAACAGUGGUGAAGGAGACUCCUAAGGAAACUAUAGAAAUAGCUACCACUAGUACAACUCAGAUCAUUGGGACUCCUACAAGCAUUGAGAUGGAACAGGUGGAGUGGACCAAGGUUGGCAAAAGUCGAAGAGACAUGGGAAAGAAAGCUAUGUCACCUCAACAAACAGAUUUGAAGCACUAGGAUUGAGAAAAGACUUAGGGUCUGUUUGAAUUACUUCUCAAAAACUGUUUUUUAAUUUUUAAAAAAUAAAAACUAAAAAACUUGUUUGAUAAACUAUUUUUAAAAUAGUAGUUUUAAAAAUUAGAUUUGUUUUUUAGUUUUAAAAACUGAAAGAGUAAAAUUGAUAAAUAUAGUUUCAGUUUUUAAUAUGUAGUUUCAGUUUUCAUUUUCAAUUUUUUUUAAAAAAAAUCCCAAAAAUAAAAAUUUAUGGAAAAAUAUAAAUUUUUAUUAAUGGUAUUUUGAUGAUUUAUUUAUUUAUUUAUAUAUAAUUUCAAAAGGAUAUCAAUAUUGUACGAAGAAUUUUGAGAAGAAAAAAAAUCCAUAAUAAUAAUAAUUAUGAUUUGUAUAAAUGUUUAGCAUAAAGCCAUUACUAAAUCCUAAAUACUAAUGGCGGAUCAUUUUAAUUUUAUUCAUGCAUUCAAGUUCUGUUUUUUUUCUUUAAAUAACUUAAUUCUUUCGAUUUUUUAUAUUUUCAUUAAUGUAAUUAUAUAUAUAUAUAUAAAAAUAUUUUACAUAUACAUCCAACUAAAUUACAUCAAAUAAAUAUACUAAAAAUUAAUCUAAUAAUGUAUCACUAGCAUGUAUUUUGAUUCGAUUAAAAAGUUUUACAUAGUAAGUACAUACAAAUUUACUUAAGAUUAUUUAAAAAAAAGUAUGGCUCAAAAACCUAACUAUAGGAAGGCAUGAAGACAAUAGGCGCCUAGGGGUGGCAAAACAGGCCCGGUCCGCCGGGCAUGCCCGUUUUUCCCGCACCUUAGUGCAGGGCGGGCCAAGGAUUUAGGCCCCCAACAUCUAAUGUGUCCGCCCCGCCCCACCCCGUUCUUUUCCGCAGGCUUUUGUGGGCACGUGCGUUUACAUAAUUUUUUGCAUUUUUAGGCUUAAAGAGUGCAGUGUCCGCGGGCUUUCCCCUUCCCGCCCUCACUUUUUUGUAGGACGGGCCUAAGUUUUAGGCCCACAUCCUCAAUUAUGACCGUCCCGCCCCACCCCGUUUUUUUGCGGGCUUUUGCGGGGCAGACCUAUAUGGGGCGGGCAUGUCCGUUUGCCACCCCUAUAGGCGCCACGUGGACGACAGUAAAGAAGGGCAUCGAGGACCCGAUCCAGAUUUUCAAAUUAUACUCAGUUGAACAUGUUUAGAGGAAAAAUUCUACAAGAGUGUGCUAAGGCCUAGGUAAAGAACGCCAGAGAUAAGAUAUCCCAAUAACGUAAAGUAGUUAGCACAAAUCGAUAGAUCAAAAUUUAAUUAUUAAUUAUAAUAAAAAUAUUUUAAAUAUAUAUUUGUUAAUAAAAGUGUUCUUAAAAAUUAGACUACCAAAUAGAUUUUUUAUUUUCUCAUCUCUAGAACUGUUUUUGAAAAUUAACUUAUCAAAUGAAUUUUUUAUUUUCUCAUUUCUACAAUAGUUUUGAAAAGUUAAAUUAUCAAACAAAUUUUUUAUUUAUUCUCUUCUUAAAAAGAAUUUUCUAAAACAAUUUUAUAAAAUAAUUUUUAAAAAGUAAAAAGCAAAACUCAUUCAAACGAGCUCUUAUUGUUUCAUGAAGAUGUCUCGUGAUUAUUGCUUGGAAUGUGAGGGGGCUCAAUAAAUCAGGUAAUAUUAGGGAGACUAGAGUGAAAAGUAAUAAGGCUGAGGCUAUUAGAGGCAAAUUGAACAUGAGAGGUAAUUACUUGGAUUACUAUAACAAGGAUGACAACGGUAGGAUUUGGGUGUUUUGGAAAGACAACAACGUUAUCAUCAAGAUGAUCAAGAGCACUGACCAAAUGAUACACUGUGGGAUCUUUGAGUUAAAUUAGGACUUAAGCUAUUAGAUGAUUGCUAUAUAUGCCUUGAAUCAAUUAGAUCAGAUAAAGAAUCUUUGGAAAGACAUUGAAGAUAUUAACUGCAAACAAAAGGGUUCAUGGUUCUUAUUGGGAGACUUCAACAAUGAUUUGAUAUCUCAAGACAUGAUUGGGGGGAAUAUGGCAACUGAAAAAGGAGUACAUUGACCUGAUAAGAAUGAUGGAACAAAUUGGAUUAUAUGAAAUGGGCAGCAGUGGGGACUAUUUGGUCUAACAAACAAAGUGAGAAUUUUAUCUAUUUCAGAAUUGACAGAGUGCUAGGUAAUUUGGAAUGGCUUCAGGAUCAUAGUGACUAUGAUGUCACUGUUAUCCACCCUAGUGUGUCUGAUCAUGCCAUGCUUUGCUUGAAAAGGUAUGAUAUUCUUUGGAAAAUAAUAGGAAAAUAAAUAGUUUCAAGUUUAUUAUCAAUGUUGCUGAUUUUGAGGGCUUUUUUAGUGUUGUUGAGAGAAGUAGGAAUGCCCCCUAUUAAUGGUAUGCCAAUGUAUAUUCUUUGGAAAAAACUGCAAAGAUUACAACCUGUUCUUAAUGCUAUGAGUAAGCUUAUUACUGAUGUGAAGCUGAAUAUUAUGAAAGCUAGGGAAAACUUGCAAACAACCUAGUUGAAUCUUUGCAAUGACAAAAUGAAUAUGACCAAGAUUGAUCUGGUAAAGAAACAUACUGAGGAGCUUAUUAACUUGAAGGAGAUGGAGGAAAAUGUGCUUAAACAAAGGCUAAAUUGGAUUGGCUAAAACUAGGGGAUGGAAAUAAUAAGUAUUUCCAUGCCUCCAUUAAAGCUAGACACAAGAAGAAAAGUAUGAAUACUCUACAAAAGAAUGAUGUUACUCUUCUAACUACUCAAAAUGAUAUUCAAAGGGAGGUGUUGGAUUUCUAUACUAAUCUGAUGGAUACAACUGACAUUUUAUUGGAUGGCAUUGACAUUAAUGCCAUGAGAAAUGCCCCCCAAUUGAAUAAUGAUCAUAGGGAAAUGCUUAUUGCUCUAGUUUCUGAUUAGGAGAUUGUCAAGGCUCUUAAAGGUAUUGGUGAUCUGAAGUCUCCAGGGUUGGAUGGGUAUGGGGAUUACUUAUUUAAGAAAGAUUGGCAAGUAGUGAAGACUGAUAUGAUAAAUGGUGUCCAAGACUAUUUUAUUAAUGGUAGAAUCUACAAAGCUUUUAACUGCACCUUGGUGAACAUCAUCCCUAAGAGUAUGGAGGCAAAAAUUAUUAGGGAUUAUAGACCUAUUUCCUGUUGUAUCACCAUCUAUAAGAUUAUCUCCAAAGUUCUAACUUCUAGAAUGAGUAAUAUUUUGGAGAGUAUUGUUGAUAAGAACCAGGCUGCAUUUGUCCCAUGCUAAGAUAUUCACAACCAUAUCCUUUUGUCUUAUGAGCUUAUUAAGGGCUACACUAGGAAGGGAGGUACUCCUAGAUGUAUGAUGCAGGUGGCCAUUCAAAAAACCUAUGAUUAGUUGAUUGGAAUGUUAUGGAGUGUAUUCUUAAUGAUAUUAGGUUCCUUAGACUGUUCACUAAUUAGAUUAUGCUUGUUGUUUCUUCUGUCUCUUACAAGUUCAAUGUCAAUGGAGAUUACUUAGGCAUUAUGCUGGCUAAAAGAGGGUUGAGGUAGGGUGAUCCCAUCUCACCUUUGCUCUUUAUCAUUGUCAUCGAUUACUUGAACAUAAUUUUACAUAAAAUGCAGAGGAACAACAACUUCAAUUUCCAUGCCAAAUGUGAAAAACUAGGCCUUGCCAACCUUUGCUUUGUUGAUGACCUACUGUUGUUUUCUAGAGGGGGCAUUAUGUCAGUUGAAAUUAUGAUGAAGUCUUUCAAGAGCUUUUCUAACUGUACUGGACUCAGAUCCAACCCUAUAAAAUGCCACGUCUAUUUUGGUGGGGUGGAGCACAACACUAGAGAUAACAUUAUGCAUAUUAGAUCCUUUAAAGAAUGAGUCUUUCCCUUCUUGUAUUUGGGUGUGCCUAUGACAGGUAAGAAACUCACACUUCAUCACUAUAUGAAUCUUAAUGAUAGAAUAUUAGGGAGAAUAACACAUUGGAGUGCUAGCUUGUUGAAUUAUGCUAGAAGAAUUCAACUCCUGAAAAGUGUCACCUUUGAUGUUAUGAACUAUUGGAUGCAGUGUUUCCCUUUCCCCAAGUUUGUGAUUCAUAAAAUAGAUGCAAUUUUUAGAACUUUCAUGUGGACAGGUGGUACUGAAUUGAGUAGGAAAUCCCAUAUUGCAUGGAAGUCUGUAUGCAAACCUAAAAGUCAAGGUGGCCUGAACAUGAUUAAUCUCGAAGUUUGGAAUAAAACUAACUUGGUGAGGCUUUUAUGGAAUCUUAAUGGUAAGUCCGAUAGCCUUUGGGUUAAAUGGGCCCAUACGUACCUAUUGCCUGAAACAACAACAUUUGAUGGAUGUCGGAGUGAGGAACAACUCCUCUUAGAUUAUUAAAUCCAUCCUGAAUCAAAGAGACAACAUCCACCACUUGCAGGCUUGGAUUGAGUUGCAGCAAACCUAUAAGUUCAGCAUGAAGAAAAUGUAUAAAGCCCUCCUUGAUGACACUCAAAAUGUUUAUUGGAGAUCUUUAUUUUAUGGGAAUAUGACGCGCCCUAGAGCUCUUUUCACCAUUUGGCUUGCUUUCCAUGAAAGGCUUGCAACAAAGGGCAGACUGUCUAGGUUUGGCAUGACUGAUAGUAUCAAUUGUUAUUUUUGUAAUGCAACAGAAACCCAACACAAUCUUCUCUUUGUUUAUCCUUAAAAGAAGGUCACAUGGGAGAAGAUUCUUGACCGGGUUCAAAUGCAGCAUACUCCUGCUGAUUGGAGGAACAAGAUUAGUUGGAUUAUCCGACGUAGCAAAGGCAAAGGAUAUAAAGUUGCCACUCUAAAACUUGCAGCAACAAAAACUAUCUAUGCAGUUUGGCGCUACAGGAAUGAUAAAUUUUUUGGUAAUGAUGUGAGUAAUACUAAUAGAGUAGACAUCAUCAUCUAUACGAUUGUGGUUGUUUCUUGAUAUUUGUCAUGGUUAAUUUGUAGGCGGGAUUUAUGCAAUCACCUUGUACAUAUCAUUUUUGAAUUAAUCCAAGUCUUGAUUAAAAAAAUGUAAUAAAACAUUUUAUUAUUUUCUUUACUAAAUUUGAUAACAAUAAAAACCAUAAGAUAUUUAAAAAAAAACUUAAAAAUAGGCCGUUGAGAAUUGAUGAUACAAAAAGUUAAUUCAAGUUGUUGUUGUUAGUGGUGGUCGUGUUGUUGUUGUUGCUGUUGUUAUUGUUGUUGCUGUUGCUAUUGUUGUUACUAUUGUUGCUAUUGAUGUUGUUGUUAUUAUUAUUAUUAUUAUUAUUAUUAUUAUUAUUAUUAUUAUUAUUUAUAAUAAUAUUAUUAUCAAUGAAAUUUAAAAUGAUUUUGUAUUAUUAAAAACACAAAUAACAUAUAUGUUGUAGCAAUUUAGUCUUUAAGUUCACCAUUUAGUAUAUUUGAGAUAGUAUUCUUAUAAAAGUACAUUAUGUUAAUAUUUUUUUAAGGAUAACUGCGUCUAUAAACAUACUUAUAUUAUUAAAAUGAAUUCAAAGUGCCUACACAAUAGUUUCAUGUUAUUGUUAGCCUCACAAUUGUUAAUUUAUUAUCUAUUAUAAAAUAUUAAUUCUUAAUUAUGAUAUAGUUUAUUGAUAACUUAUAUGUUUCAUGCUAUAUCAAUUUAUAAAAUCUGAUGUGAUAUUAUUUAAAAAAAUUUAAUUUAUAAAAUCUGAUGUGGUACUAUUCAAAAAAAAUUAAUAUUUAUAUUUUUAAUAUCUAUCUUAACAUAAUAUGUAACAUUUUAUUUAUAAUUAUUUUUCAAAACACAAUUAUUUAUAUUCUACCUAUCAUUUUUCUAAAUUAUAAACUCAAUACAAAAUAAAUAGCAUAAAUGGUUAUAUAGAAUAUGUAACAUUCCAUUUAAAAAAUAAUUAUAAAUGAAACGUUCCAUAUUAUGUUAAGAUAGAUAUUAAAAUUUUUAUUUUACAACAACAUUAUAAUUAUAUAAAUACUCAAAUCAUAAUCCAAUCCAUAAAAAUUCAUUCAACCAUCAUUCUCACUAUUUUUUUAAAUUAUAAAUUCAAUACAAAAUAAAUAGCAUGGAAAAUUAUAUAGAACGUGAGUGGUUUGAACGUGGAACAUCUUUAUCCACAAAAUAAUAAAGAAUAAACAUUCUUAGAGAUAUUGAAGUUCUUUUACACUUAUUUACAUUUUAAAAUAAAUUUCUAAUGUUUUAUUUGCAUUUCUACUAUUCAAACAUAUUUUCUUACACUUAAAGUUUUACUCUCUCUUUUUAUCAUCUUCAACUUAUAUCUUUUUUACAAAAAAUUUAAUAAUAAAUAAGAUCACAAAUUUAUUAAUAAUAUAUAAAAUUAAAAUUUAUAUUUUAUAAUAUUAUUUUAAAAAAUUAUCUCAACUCCAGCCCAUCGCGCAAGUCUCAUUCAUUCUAGUUAUUUUAUUAUUAGUGUAACAUCAAAGACGUGUAAAAUACAAUCAUUGUUAUAUAUGGCAAAACCUUAUGUCUACAAAUAUGCAUUUCAUCAGAAAAAUGUCUACACGUAUGUAAGCUGAACCAAAAGUUAAUAAUAUAAUAGAGGAUAAUUAAGUCUAUAAACAUAGUUAAAUUAAUAAAAUUGAAUUAAAAUACCAAUAUAAAUAGAUCUAUGUAGCUUCAUGCUUCUUCACAAGCCAAACAAAGAAAGAGAGAGAGAGAAAGUAAGAAAGAGAAAAAGAGUUAGAAUGGAGUUGAUGAAUAAGAAGGCAAUGAUGAAGUUAGCUCUAAUGGUUUUCCUCUUGAGCUUCGCCGCAAAUGUUGUUAACGCUCGUUUCGAUUCAACUUCCUUCAUAACUCAAGUGCUCUCCAAGUCUUAGUUUAAGUUAUUACAGAGUAUUUAAUAUACACAUAAAUAUAGAAGUUUAUUAUAUAUAUAUAUAUAUAUACUUUAGUUAUUUCAAGAAGGACAAGACAAUAUUAGCAGAGAAAGUUAUAAAUGAAGUCCACACUAUUAAUACGUAGUCGCUAAUCUUCCACCUGUCCUCUCUUAAUCUUAAAUGAUAGAGAUAAAUAAAGUUCGAUUCACGAUAAAGAUGGUAUUUUAAUAAUGGUCUUUACUUGGUGGAGCUUACUAAUUCUUCCUCCCUCUUUUACCUGUUUAAAAUUUGACCAUUUUCCUUCAUCCGUUAGUUGAACUUUUUUGAAGGUAGUGAUUUUUCCUUUGCAAUUUUUUGCAAGAAAGGUUUUCUUUUAGAGAAAAUAUAUUUAAGUGGAGGGUGAUUGUCGAUCCAGUUGGAGUCUCUUGUCUUUUGUCUGGGAGAAAAUAAUAAAAAAUUGAAUUUGGAAUAUUUCAGUACAAUUCUUUAUAUCUAUUCCGAUGUAAUUUGGAAUGUUAAUAAAUUCUCUUUCUCUCCGAGCAUAUUUUUAUAUAUAUAUAUAUAUAUAUAUAUAUAUAUAUAUUCAACUAUACAUGCGUCAAUUGUAAUGGCGCAUACUCUUACAUUUUAUAUACAUGCGCCAUUACAAUUGCCGCAUGCUCUUACAUUUUAUAUACACGCGUCAAUUGCAAUGACGCAUGCUCUUACAUUUUAUAUGCAUGCGCCAAUUGCAGUGGCGCAUGAGUAUAAAUUGAUUAAUGCAUGCGCUAUAACAUAUGACACAUUAGUUCAUUUAAAAAAAAAUGAUUACAUUGAUAAAUACUUUAAAAUUAUGACUAUUUUCGUAUUAUUUUUGAAAAUAAUAAUUAUUUAAAAUAAAAUCCGAAGUUAUCAUAUAUUCUCUUUAUAUAGUGUUUGCUUUAAUAAUCAAAAGUUAUAUAAAUAAUGUAUUUUUUUUAUUUUACUAUCUUUUAUUCUUUCUACGUCUUCUUUAAUCUGCCGUCCUUACUAUAUUCUUAAUUUCAUUCUUUAUUUUUUUCUUUUUCAGGUAGGGAUGUUCGCGGUGCGGUUUGCGCGGGUUUUGCGAUAAAAAUCACCCGAACCGCAAGAGAAAAAACAUGCGGUUCGGUUUGGUUCGAAUGAAUUUUAGAAAUAAAACCAAACCAAACCAAACCAAAUUAAUGCGGUUUGGGUUGGUUCAGUUGAUUCGGUUUUUUAUAAUAUUUUUAUUGAGCCAUAUAUACUCCUAUAAAUAACGACAUAACUUUGUGUUUAGUCAUUCAUAUAUUACUAAAUAACAUCAAAAUUCAUCAUAUUUAGACAAAAACGUUUCAUAUAUACUCCUAUAAAUAACGACAUAACUUUGUGUUUAGUCAUUCAUAUAUUACUAAAUAACAUCAAAAUUCAUCAUAUUUAGACAAAAACGUUUCAUUCAAUAUACAAAAAACCAGAUUAGGCAAAGUGGAAUAAAUGACAAAUAUAAAUAGUAGCAUAAAAUAAUAUCAAAGACAUUAUAAUAAAACAUAAAAAAAACAUAUGAGAUGAGAGAUUAGAGAAGAUGAAAAAAAGAACAUAAGAGAUGUGAGAUUGAGAAGAAAAGUGCAAUAAAAAUGUAAUUGGAAGAGAAAAUAGUAACAUAAAAGAUAAAAAAGAAAGAACAUAAUAAAGGACUUAUUAGAGUAGAAUAGGCGAGACCUACAUGGAAAAUAAGAUGAGAAGAAUGUAUGAUACUACUAUGAUAGAUUUAAGAAGGUUGAAAUUGAAACCCUAAGUGUGAUUAAGAGAAAAUCGUUUGUAAUGGUAAGGUUAAGACAUAUUAGGUUUGAGGUUUGGGUUAGAUGUGGGAUAAGUGAACUUUGGGUUGUAACAUAAUGCGGUUUGGUUUGGUUUAGUUCGGUUUGCAAAAUACAAACCGCAAACCAAACCAAACCGUACGGUUUUAUUAAAAGAUGAUCCAAACGAAUCCGAACCAAAUACGGUUUUUUGCGGUUUCAGUUUGAUUUGGUUUGGUUUGGUUUGCGGUUUUCUAUUGGGUUGGUUUGGUUUUGAACACCCCUAUCUCCAGGUGUUGCAUAAUGCGGAGGGAUUAAAGCCGAUGAAUAUAUAUUAGGAAUCACUUAAUUUUUUUUACUCCAACAUUGUUAAUUAUUUGUUUCGUUUAAUCUAUAAUCUUCUAUUAUCCUUGAGUACCUAAUGUGUGCUUUAGAUAUGGUCUUUUUAUCCUUCACAUCAAUAGUCAUAGUAAUUAAUUUUGAGGUUAUGACUAAAAAAUAAUUCUAAUUAAUUUUGCUUUAUUUAAUUUUUUUUAAUUUGACAUAUUAAAAUUUCUUUGUGAAUACAGGACUUUUGAAUUUUUUUAUUUGAGACACAACUAAUUUUCAGUCAAUGCAUAUAAAUCAGACACACAUAAUUAUAUUGACUCUUUUUAUACAAUUUGAUGGAGCGAUCAUGAUAGACGUGCGGCUGUGCAUUGUUAGUUGCACUCUUUCACCUUCAUUUUCAUUUUUUCCAUUUUAUAUCAUUUGCUUCCUUCUUCCAUGUUUUUAAUUUUUUAAAUUUUGUUUAAGUGUUAGUAAAUAUUAUUUUUGUUAACUCAAUUUAAAUUUAAUCUAUACAUAAAUUAUUUUAAGUGGUGUGUAUGCUUUUAUUUUCAAUGCCAAAAUUACUGAUUAAUUAAAUUUGGAAAGUUCCUCUUAUUCUAAAUUAAAAAUAUUCAAAUAUUUUAAAUAUAUUUCUUUAAUGAUAUGAUAUUUUGUCAUGUAUAUGUAGUUUUUUAAAUCUUAAGAACGUAUUGACAAAUAAAUAUAUGAAGAAUUGAUUCGAAUCUUUAUAAAAUAGAAAAAAUUAUAUUACAUUAUUUAUUAUUUAUUUUAUUUUAUUUUUUUAAAAAAAAUCUAAUUUAAAAGUCUUAUAUUUUUUUCUUUACUACGAAAAACAAUCAUAAGGAAAUAAAUAACUUGCAUUGCUUCCUGUUGUGCCGAAAUAUUAAAAUCUAAUUUGCAAUUGCUAUAAAGUAUCAUAUAAAUGGUAUAUUGUUCUUUCCUUAACAAUGGAAUGCGGUACAAUGCUUAUUGAUUUUGCAAUUAUUGUACACUAUCUAUAUAUAAAAUGCAUAUUGGUUUGACAUUUUUUUACGGACAUAUUCAUGAGGAAGGAAAAAUACAACAUGUAAGUGUUCUUUUCAAAGACAGUGUUGGUAUGAACAUGAAUCAAUUAAAAAAAAACAAUAUUAGUGAUUUGAUUGUAAAGUUCUCUUCCUUUUGUUUAUUAUCUAAAGUUAAUUUGCAUAAAUGAUAAUAAUUGUGUAGCGUUCGGUAAAUCGAUAAAUCGAUUGAAGGAUAAAUUAUUUUUUUUUUAAAUUUAAAAUAUGAAUUUGUUAGUUCCUAAAGUAGUCAAAUUAAAUUUUGAAAUUUUAAUUUAUACAACUCUGAUUGGAAUAAAUAAUAUUAUUGUAAUAUAGAAUUUAAUUUAUUUGUCAAAUUUUGAAUAAAGUAUUAUAUUUAUAUUUUAAAAUUAUUUAUUAAAGUAGAGUUUUUAAUCAUCAAAGUGACCAAUUCAUAAAAGUUUAUAAUUUUAAAAAUUUACAAAUAAGUUUCGAUUAUGAACUUCAAUCUAUUAUUUAAUUUUGAAAUGAAAAGUUUAUUAUUUAAUUUAAAAUUAUUUGAGUUAGAAAUUUGUUAAUUAAAAUGGUCAAAUUAAUUUUAUGAUUCUAAAUUAUGCAAUUGAAGUUGAUUUGGAUGCUAUGUGUAGAGCUGUCAAAAUGGGAUAAAGCCCAUGAGCCGGUCCAUCGAGCCCGAAAAAAUUUUGGGUUUGGACCUUAUUUUUGGAGCCCAUAUAUUUUCGGGCCUUUUUUGGUCUGGCUCGAAAAAGCCAUAAAAAAUGGGACGGCUCGUAUGAGCUAUGGGUAGCCCAGCAACCUCAAAUAAUUUUUUUUGAAAAAUAAUUAACUUAUUUAGCACAUGAAUUUAGUCCACCUAUUAAUAUUCAAUUAUUCAACAAAUUCAUUAGUAAAUGUAAUUACACUGUAUUCAAUUACUUAGCCCAUUAAUAAUUGCACUUAUUCAAUUAUUAUUUAGUAAAUGUAAGUUUGAGAUCCAAACAACACCAUAGCAUACCUAUUAGAUGUUUUUGAAUUUGAUUUUGUACGCAUUUGACGACAUCUAUAUUUAGUUAUGAUGUUUUCAUAUUCAUUAUAUUAUUAUAAUAUUUUUCUUUCUUUAUUCAUGAUUUUACUACCAAAAUUUUUGGUGUUUUUAAAUGGUAUGAAAUGUGCUAAAGUUUUUUUAAUUAUGCAAAUAAUAGUUUUUUAUUUUAAUUGGCUUUUUUACGUGUUUUUGCAACAUUGCAGGACUCACAAUAAAAUAAAACUAAUUCUGAAAUAGUUUGAAAUUCAUUCGAUAAUUAAUUAGUUGAAUUUCAUUCAUAAGACAAAUUAAGUUUUGACCUAAACCUUUCGUAACUAAAUGAGUUAAUUGGUAAUAAAUAUGUAGUCUUGAACUGGGAAAAAAAACUUUUAAUUUAUGUGAGCAUGUAAUCUUUAGUGUCUUGAAGUCAUUUAUUUGUAAACUCAAAAUGAUUUUAGUAAUAGAAUAAAAACAAUUUAAAAAAAAGGAUAAUAUGAUUAUUUACAAAAUAAGGAGUUUUUUUUUAAAUGGGUCCAUUUAUGAUCGGGCCCGUUUAGGACCGGGUAGCCCGCAGGCCAGACAGGGAUGUCUGGGUAGUAAAAUUGGAGCCCAUAUUCAAUAUGGGAUUUUUAGGCCUGACCCGAAAAAACCCGAGACCCACCAGGGACAGCCUGUUUAGGACCGGGUAGCCCAUUUUGACAACUCUAGUUAUGUGUUUAAUAAAAUUUAUUAUUAUUAUAAAAUAUAAAGAAAUUAAAGUAUUUUUUUACACACUUGUUCUUGUAUAUCCAAAGAUAUACAUUCAUGUUUUAAGUGAUUUUAUUGUCCAUUAAAGUCUGUUUAUUUAGCAUCAUUAGAAUUUUUUAAAAUGUAUUUAAGUUUUAUUUAAAGGUAGACUUUUAUACUUGUUUAAAGAUGAUUAGUUUGAAUCCAUGAAAUUUAUUCAAAACAUAUUAAUGUAUGAGCAUGUUUUAAUGCUUGUGGUUAAUAGAAAUGUGUUACGGGCUUGAACAUUAUAUUGAUAAUGGAUGAAAAGCCUAUGGCGAUUACGGAGGACACUACAUAAGAGAAAUGUCUCUCUUUGAGAGUUAGGAAAUGUCCAACCGACUAUCUUUGAACUUAAUGGAAAAGGACAAUUCGUAAAGUUUCUCGAAAGUCGUGGUAAAUAUAAACUAUAUACUAUGCAUGACAAACCCCAACAAAACGGUGUUGUUUAAAAGCCGAAUGUACUCUCAUGGAAAUGAUCAGGUCAAUUUUAAAUAUAGCAAGGUAUUAUUAUCAUUGUGGACAUACGCAUUAAGGACCGUUGCAUAUUUGCUUUAAUAGGAUUCCUAACAAGAUAGUUCUUAAAACUCCUUAUGAAUUGUAGACAUGAAGAAAACCUAGUUUAAAGUAUCUUCAUGUUUUGGGCUAUCAAGGAAAAGUAAACAUGUAUAACCCAUAUGAAAAAGUAUAACUUUAUUGUCCUAAUCGUAGUAUGAGAAUAAUGGAAUAUGGUAAUUAUCAAUUUAUUGAAUAUGGUAAGUUCAGUGGGAGUGAGGAAUCAUAUAAAAUGGAUAUUAUGGAGACUUAUGGAACAUCUUCUUCACCUAAAGAAUCUCUCUAUGUUGGUGUCCAUCUAGUUGUAUUAUCGUUAUACAACACAAAGAAACAACAUAUAAUUAUUCACUUGAGCAUGAAUGUGACUUGAGCAUUGAUAAGGAUUCAGUCUCAUUCACACUAGCCAUAGAAAACUGCAAAGAAGGUUCUUAGGUACUUACAAGACACUAAAGAUUACAUGCUCACAUAUAGAAGGUCAGACCAACUUGAAAUAGUUGACUACUCGGAUUUAAAAUUUGUGAGAUGUGUGGACUCAAGAAAAUCCACAUUUAGAUAUGUUUUUCUUCUAACCGGAUGAGUAAUAUCACGAAGACCGUAAAAUAACCUAUAAUUGCUAUUUCUACUAUGAAGGAAAAAUUCAUGGCAUGCUUUGAAGCCACAAUUCAACCACUGUGGUUUUGGAAUUUACCCUUACGGCUUGGUAUUAUCGACAAUAUAGUUAGGCCACUAAGGAUUUAUUGAUAAUUCAAUAGCUAUCUUCUUCUUUAAGAAUGAUAAGCAUUUAACGGAUGUUAAAUACAUGAAAUUGAAGUACUUAUUAGUGAAAGAAAAAGUGCAGAAACAAAAAGUAUCAUUUGAAUACAUUGGUAAAGAUUUAAUGAUAGCGGAUCAGUUAACCAAAAGUUUACCGUCCAAGACAUUCCAUGUAGAAAAGAUAGGCAUUAUGUAAAAGUCAUUCUUAACAUUAUAAUAUAAUCGUUAUAUAUACAUGUAUAAUUUAAUGUCAUAUUGUAUGACACUUGUGAAUUCAAUUAAGAAUAUAUUUCUACUUAGUUUGUUAUCCAUAUUAUAUUUUAUACAUUAUUGUUAAUAUGUGAUGACAAAUGUGCCUUUGAAGAGACAUGAAAGAUACAUAAUUGUAUCCCUUAAAUAUUUAAAUUGGAUUGAUUUGUGAUACAUGGAAGAAAUCAAGUUGAUGAAUGACUUGUGACCGCCAUGAUUCGAUCAUUUCAAUUUAUUAAAGAUAAUGACUUGGUGCUUCUAAUAAAUGAUGAACAAUUAUGGUAUAAAAUCGAAAUAUCAAGUUGUCACAUGAGUCAAGUGGGAGAUUGUUGGAUUAAUUUGUUAAUCCAUUAAAUAUGACUCAUGUAAAUUAAAGAUUGAUUUAAAUAAAAGAUGAUUGUUUAGGUUGAUGGAUAAUUAAAUCAAUUGAGUUUUUUUUAGUUUCAAAAUAAAAUUUAAAUCUCUGUUCUCUCUUCAUGACUAUUGGGACAUGUCUGUUGCAAUAAGAUGUGACCGUUAUAAUAAGAUGCCUAUAAAUAGGCACCAUUAGGAAAGCAACACAAACGGUUCUCAUUAUUUCUGAUUAUCUAUAAAAUAAUAAGAGAAAAUAUAUUAAUCAUCAAAGAUACAUAAAAGAAGAAGGAAGAGAGGAGAAAAUAAUUCGGAUCAAGAAUCAAGAACUGGACAAGAACCGGCGUCAUAAAUCUGGGUAUGUCUUUUUUUAAUGUUUUUCAUAGAAAUUAGAGCACCGUAAAAAUCAUAAUAUCAAGAUUCUAAAUAUGAAAUUUUCUAACAAUUUUUCCAUGAUUCGGAACGUUGUUGUUUGAACUAUUUGAAGUGUUCCAAAUGAUAUUAUUUCUUUGGUUCCUAAACAAAAUUUGAACGAAGUUAAGGGAAAACAAUUAUUUUUCUAUCUUAAAAAUGGUUCUUAGUUAGAUCACCGGAGAACUCGUGUAUUAUCUCUUAUUGAUUUCAGAAUAUUGUCUUCUUCCUUAAUCAGUAACAGAUCAAGAAUUUUGUGGUUUUGAUGCUUCACUUGAAAAUCACUGUUCUAUUAAUAGUGGUUUUUAUGACUUGAAUUCUAGCUUCUCUUUAUUAAAAGAUGAGGCUUUUAUAAUUGUUUGAGGAUUCUCUCUUGUGUAGUAUUUGUAUUGGCUUUUUAGCUUCUUUUUUUUGUUGUUUAUGUAGGCUAUUUUGUUGCUUAUUUGUUUUUAGAAUGAUAAAUUUGGCAUAUAUUAAGCUAUGAAUACCUUUUAUUUAUAUUUUGUUGGGUUAUUUAUCUAACACUUAUUAUUAAUAUAUUAAAUUUAAAUGUAUUUUUGGUCUCCGUUGAUAUUUUAAUUUUUUUUAGUCUUGUAAUUUAGAAUUAAAUUUAGCUUUUUGGUCUUUUUUUUUUACAAUUCUUGCAAUUUUUUUAAUGUAGCGCCACCUAAGCCAAAUAUGUCAUGUCAUAGUAUCUAUAUGUACCUCAUCAUGUAAUAAGAUAUUAUUUAAAUCAAAUUGAUGUAAAUGUCAUAUUGAUGCAAAAGCUAUGGAAGGUAUGAUUAUACUGAAUUUUGCAAUAGGUGAAUGAGUGUCAGAGUAAUUCAAUCCAUUUAUCUGACUAUAGCCUUUGACAACUAACUUUGACUUGAAUCUGUCGAUGCUCCAAUGUAAAUUAUGCUUAAUUUUAUAGAUCUAUCUGCAGUCUGGUUUAAUGUUAGGUGGAGGGUCAAUAAUUUCCCAAGAGCUCAUUUUGUCAAGAGCAUCAAGCUCAUGAGAGUCGACCAAAAGCAUAUGCUAGAAAGCCAAAAGCGAAACAUGCACAGCCUUACCAUCUUUUUAACCUAUAUAUCCCAUUAUACCACUCUUUGAAAAAAAUACCAAAAUACCAUGUUUUGAGAAAUCUUCAACACACAGCCGCCAAUCCAUUGGGCGGUUGAGUGUAAAAAAUUAAUGGACCGCCCAUUCAUUUGGAGCCUGUGUUGAAAACGUAAUUUUUUUUUCCAAAACCAACAUUAUAUGUAAUAUAUUAAUAUUUAGUAUUAUUACAUUAUUAAUUAAAUUAUUAUUGAUUUUAUAUUAAUGAUUUUGAUUUUUCAGUAAUCAACAUUAUUAUUAAAAUUAAUUAUUAUUAAUGAUUUUGUAAAAUUAAUUAUUAUUAAUAAAUUUUGUAGAUAAAAUAAUUGUUUAAUUUAUAACAAAUAAUGAUAUAUGUUACAAUUAAUAGUGAUUUAAUAUAAAUUUAUUAUUAUAAAUUAUACAUAAUAAUUUUUUAGUAAAAUAAAAUAUUAUUAAUAAGUGGGUUAGAUAAAAUAUUGUUUAAAUUAAUAAAUAUAAUAUAAUUUAUAAUUAAUUUUGAUUUAGUAUAAGUUUAUAUUAAUAAAUAUUGUAUAAACUUAUAUAAACUUAUAAGAAAUAUUAAUUAGUAAAAUUUAAGAAUUAUUUAAUUUAGUUAAAAAUUAUUUCUUAUAAAUUAAAGUUGUAGGUAUAAAUAUUUAUUUUAAAUAUAUAAAAUAAGUAAAUUGCAUAUAAAUUAGAAAAAUGAUAAAAAUAAAUACAAGGAUUUUUAUUUAUUGAAAUAAUAACAAGAAACAGGUCAACCUACAAGGUGUUGGUGUGAUUGCGGAAAGUUUCAAGCUUUUCGAGUUCCUUGUUCCCAUGUUAUCGGCGUGUUCAAGAUACACCAGGACGCAUACGGUCUUCUGUCCACCGUUGUUACCAAGGUUUCAAACCUAUUUGGGGUUUACAGUAAUAGUUCCCAGUGCUGCCAUUACGAGUGCUAUGGGGCCUACGGUUUUUGAAGGAAUGCACGAUGCCAUAAUCGGUUUAGCCGAGAAAGGGAACAGAACGCCACCGGACAGGAGCAAGGAAGAAGGAAAGAAAAAGGAAGAGUGGGGGGGGUGGCAGCGCGCAGCCGGGACCACGGAUAGAGGCGAUACCGCAAACAAAAGAGAAAAAAAACACAGAAAAAAAAAAAAAAAAAAAAAAAAAAAAAACAAAAACAAAACCAUUUCCUCUAAACUGCCUCAAUUAAAAUUCCAAUUCCUUAACAUUAACUAGACAGAUGUAAUUGAUGUUCCGACUCAAUGCCAUCAGCCACAUACGUUUGCUUUGACCCGGAUGGUAAUUCAGAACCAAAGUCAUAAUCCUUUCAGAAACUCUAACCAUCUUCCUACUGUCGCAUAUUCAGCUUCUUCUGAUCAAAACAAAUCACUUUAAACUUUUAUGGUCACGUGAAAAACCUCAAAUCUUGACCCGUACAAGUAAUAGCCUCCAUAACUUCGAAAAAAUACCACAGCUGCCAACUCUAAAUCGUGUGUCGGAUAGUUCCUCUCAUGAACCUCAGUUGUCUCGUAAGCAUAAGCUACAACCUGCUUAUUCUGCACCAUAAAACACCACCCAAACCAAAAAUGAAGCAAUCACAGUAAACCUCAAAUGGUCUCUGAUGGACUUGGUAUAUCAGAAUAGGAAGCAGUAGUUAACUUCUUCUUUAACUCGUUGGAAACCUUCUUACAUAUUUUGAGUUCCCAAAACAAACGCUUGCCCCUUUCUAUCGUCAACAUCAGUCAACGGUAACGCCAAGCUUAGGGGAAAAUCCUCAAUGAAGUUUCCUAUAAUAACCUACAAGUCAAAGAGAAAAACUUCCUGUAUCAUCAAAAUCUGACUUCGGAGCUUCCCACUUCGAUUACCGCUUCUAUCUUAGAAGGCAUCAACAACAAUACCACCUCUGAAUUCGCAUACAAGAAAAGAACCUCUUCUAACCAAAAUGUCACAACUUGGACAGUUUAGCAAAUAACUUCAUUUUUCUCGUAGAACUCCUUAAAACCACUCUCAAAUGUUCAGCAUGCUCUUCCUCAGACUUUCGAAUACACCAACAAUAUCGUCAAUAAACACCACAACAAAACUUUGUCUAGCGUACGAGAUGGAAAAUCCUAUUCAUAUACUCCAUGAAUACUGCCAGGCGCAUUUAGUCACCCCAAAAAAGGCAUUACAGCAAUACUCAUAUGUCGCAUACCUUGUUCUGAAAGUAGUCUUUUUGAUAUAUCCUCAGUUUUCACACGUAUCUGGAUGAGUACCCUGAUUUCUCAAAAUCUAUUUGCUGAAACACACUCGCACCAACCAACCGGAUCCAUCAAAUCAUCACCAGUCGGGCAAAGGCGGAUACGCUCUUUGAUCGUCAACUUUAUUCAGCUUGACCUGUAGUCCAACACAACCUUCAUAGUACCUUUCUUUCUUCUUAGACCAAUAACACUGGUGCGCCCCACGCGACACAAUCGGACGAAUUAAAUUUCGUUAUCCACAGAUCUUCCAACUGACUUCCGUCAAAUUCAGUUAACUCGACAGCAGACAUACCGUACGAGCCAUUCGACACCGCCUAGUACCAGGUACCAAAUCAGAUCGAGAACUCAACUUCACGCUCUUGCGCGCCGUUUAAUUCAGCACUUCCUUCAGGAAAACACAUCAGGGAAAAUCACACACCACCGGCUAGAUCGCAAAAUCACCAGUGUAUCUUUUUAAGCCGUCUUUAAGUCUCGCUAACAGCAUAACAACUCUGCCCCAUCUACUACUGCCUCAUUCACCUGCCUUGCCUUGAUAGAAACAGAACUCUUUCCCUUCCUCGAAUCUCAGGAAAGAUCACCAGUCUUAGGCAAAAGCCAGUUCGCAUUAUAAAACUCGGUUAAAACAAGCCAAACCAGUUCAUACCCAAGCAUAACAUCAAUCUGCACUACGUGGAAGACACAACGAGCGUCUAUCCCAUAGUCUCUACCAACAAAUACUAAAAGAAAAUACAAUUUAAACAAACUGAAAAAAGAAGUAGUGUCACUGAACCCUUCGCAGGCAGGUAUCAAUCACCAUACUCGCCAUGCAUCCUGCAGAUAUCUCUAAUUUAAUAUUCACGCACAUCCAAAGAUAUAAACGAAUGAGUCGCACCUGUGUCAAUAAUCAGCUACAAGAGGGGAAAGCAUAAUAUGAACACCGUACCUCGGAUCCAAACGCAUUUACAUCUACAGAAGUCUCAGAAACCGAUUGUUUAAAGCAAAAGACCUUGCCUCCUGACUGGUUACCUCUCUCUUCGGCUAGGACACUGUGGACUGAUAUAUGACCCACCUCUCCCACAGUUGCAAAACAAGUCACAGUCUCUCAACGGCACUUGUUGCAAGCCAAGUGGCCACCUUUUCCCACACUUUGAAACACUUCUUUCUCAGUACUGGCUACACUUCGAUGGGAUACGAAUGUCAAGCACUGAACACGUCAUCUGAAAACACUUAGCAGUGGGCAACCUGGAGUCUCCGCCACUAGGCCUCAUUCAUUACCCACUCUGUCUCUCGGUGAAACCUUUACACUUGGCAAUACGGUUUCCCCGAUCAUAUUCUGAUUUCUUCCGGCCCUUCUCCCUUACUUUCGAACCCCUCGCGUUAGAUUCGGCUCCUGCCGCUUUCCUGCGAUCUUUAAGGUGGGUUUCUAAUACAUGAGUGUUACCACCCAAAUUGCAACAUACAUGAUAAAAGUACCUACACCCAUCGGAUAAAAAGUAAGAUAUCCAUAUAAUUUCAAUUAUGCCCCCAAGUUACCUCAAUGAAACUGCGCCCUAUAGGAAUAGCCCUUACCCAACGUUCCUUUGAGCGUACGGCAUGUGUAUUUUAUAUCUCCACUUGAUUAUGCGACUUUAAUAACUCAUUAAUUAGACUGGGAAUCUCCUCACGAGGACGUUAAUUAUAAAAACAAAUCUGUGUCUCACUAAUUCCUUGAAACAAAACUUCACACAUUUUUGAAUAAUUCGAUUGUAACCCAGUGACCUCGAAUCAGGUAGGCGGAGUGGAUAAUAAUCUUUCUGACAGUUCUCCAUGUGACUUCAGCCCAGAGCUACCAUACUUCAAUUUAAAAUAGUAUACUGUACAAGACCUGAUGUGCCUCUGUCUUCAACAUUUGUGUUAAAGAGAGCUCUAUUUUGCUAUUCUUCCUCGUGACAUCGGCUCGAGAAUAGUUAACUUUCCUCCAGAAAUGGCUCUCUCUUGCAAGACACGCGAGUCGACAAGAAUGAGUCUCAAGGCUGAAAAUUGCCAGCAAACUUCCAAUCUCAGUUCGGUGGUAAGCAAAACCCCCGACCAAUUCAAUUCUGCUUCCUCAGGGAACAGUAUUGAAUGUGUACGAACGGCUGCACCUUGCUGACUGUUUCAUCGCACAACUCAGUACACUCGGCGAAGGAUCCUUCUCGAUUCUCUUUCAACCACUUCUUGAGGCACCAUUCGAUGGGAUCUGUAUGCUCCCUUUGAAAUCAUUUGGAGGAUUUGUUCUUCGUGGUAUUAUUAGCUCAUGCUCUAGGUGGUUUGUGGGGGAGCGNNNNNNNNNNNNNNNNNNNNNNNNNNNNNNNNNNNNNNNNNNNNNNNNNNNNNNNNNNNNNNNNNNNNNNNNNNNNNNNNNNNNNNNNNNNNNNNNNNNNAAACAGGGAUUGAAUACCAAGAACCGUAGAAUUUGCACAAUACAGGGAUCCACCAAUGGAAACGUCCACUGGGAUUUGAUAUUUAUUGCUGGGUAUAUAUUUUUUGGUUUUGUUUUUAAAGGGUACAACCACAUCCAGACAUCGCAACGACGAUGAAUGGGGGAAAGAAAUCACAACUAGAUGCCAACGGACAACUAGGAAAAACUCAACAUUUACCAAGACCUACGGAGAGGUAACCAGACAUUAAUGAAUGACUGGAAAGGAUACAACCAUUCGUCGACGGACGAAAUGGGAAAAACUCAACGUUCACCCAGACCAACGGAGAGGCAACCAACUGGGGACGACCAGGAAAAACUCGACGUUUAUCGAAACCAACGGAGAGGUAACCAGACAUUAACUGAUGAAUGGGAGGACUCGACCGGACAUCAACGGAUGAAUGGGAAAACUCGACGUUUACAGACAUCGAAAGAUGAUGUUUACAGACACCAAAAAGAUUGACCAGACAUUUACUGAUGAAUGGGAAUACUCGACGUUUACAGAUAUCGAAAGAUGAUGUUUACAGACACCAAAAAGAUCGACCAGACAUUUACUGAUGAAUGGGAAUACUCGACGUUUACAGACAUCGAAAGAUGAUGUUUACAGACACCAAAAAGAUCGACCAGACAUUUACUGAUGAAUGGGAAUACUCGACGUUUACAGACAUCGAAAGAUGAUGUUUACAGACACCAAAAAGAUCGACCAGACAUUUACUGAUGAAUGGGAAUACUCGACGUUUACAGACAUCGAAAGAUGAUGUUUACAGACACCAAAAAGAUCGACCAGACAUUUACUGAUGAAUGGGAAAACUCGAAAUACAACCAAACGUCAACGGACGAAUGGGAAAAACUCAUCGUUUAUCGAAACCAACGGAGAGGUAAAUCCAUAUGGGGAAUGGUACAACUAGACAUCAUCGGAUGACUAGGAAAAACUCGACGUUUAUCGACACCAACGGAGAGGAGGAAUCUUCACUAGGGAAGGGAGGGCGACGUUAUGAACAUCGAAAGAGGAUGUUUACCGACAUCAAAAGAAGACCAGACACUUACGCAUGACUGGGAAAGCACCGAAAGAUGGUGUUUAACGACACCAAAGAAAUACCAGACGCUUACGCAUGACUGGGAAUCACCGAAAGAUGGUGUUUACCGACACCAAGGAAAACAAAUACACGCGGGUGCUGACGGGAUAUUGAGAUCUACAAGAUGACAAGGCAAGGCUAAACACUUGCAGGGGGUCUCACUGGGGAGAAGCAAGCUUUCCUUUCCAACGGAUGAGGAAAUAAACCUCUGUGGGGAUUAUCAACACCAAAUGUUGACUGGAGCAACUGUAGCAAAUGUGUCGUACAGGUUGAGCGAAAAUCCGCCUCUGCAGGGGAUACGGUCUGAUGGGGUUUCGAACACAUGAAUGCAUAUGUUUGAAUUUUUCUAUGGCGUAAUGCUCCAUUUAUGAAUGGAAAUGCUACGCGAUUUUUGAGGAUGCAAUGAUCACUACAUGCAAAAUGCAACAUGAACCCUGGCUGGGGAGCCAAAAAGGUCAGAUACUCCGACUCUGUGGGGAGACUCUGACUGAGGAAAUACAGACGCCCCUUAAGAAGAACCCCUUACUAUUUCGCUGAAGUCUGGGGGAAGACCCAACCAACCCUCAGAUAGGAUAAACUCUGCUUUGGAGAAUAUCUGUUACUCCGCUGGGGACGACCCACGCAAUCCACAGGUAGCAUCAACUCAGCUGGGGAUGCAGAUAUCGGUCUGCUACGGAAACUCGUCCAAUCCACUGGUAGGAUAAACUCUGCUUGAGAGAUAAAUGUUACUCCACUAGGGACGACCCAGCCAAUCCAUAUGUAGGAGAAUCACUGCUGGAGAUGUAUUUCAUUGAAACCCGCUCCACUCGGGGAACUUGCUGAGGAAAAAAACACACCAUUCUGCUGAGGAGAACGAUCCUAGUGGGGAGAGUAAAAACUCUGUUGGGGAUGAUAACACGUCAUAUCACUGGAGAUGAACCUCUACCAUCCUGCUGGGGAGAAGCACUCACGACCAUGCUGGAGAUAACAGUAUCACAAACCCGACUGCUGGGGAACACACAAACACACACAAGUCUACUGAUAGACUCCGCUGGGGAACUCCCGGGGAAAAUAACUGCCAGGCGCUCAGCGGGGAUUCUCAACUGGGGAAAUCUGCAAGCACAGGCCUGCUGGGGAUAAACAAUCUUUAGAUCUGCUGGGGAAAGAAAGUACUGUCCACAGACAUCUCUGCAGGGGAAAUAACUCUGAUAGCUUCAAUACUGGCUCAGGCUGGGGAAAAUGUCCUCCACCCUGGGAAACAUUCUGCCCCUGACACUCCCACCAGGGACAAGACAACCUUCAGGCUUACUAAGGAGACACCGAUCUCGGAUCUGUCGGGGAGAUCACACUCUCGACCCAUUGGGGGGAGAUACAAUUUGUUUGACAGAGAUGUCGGUUGGCUUGUCGAACACUGGUAUCCAUCAUUUACCCACAGUGUCGAUUUUCCACUUUUAAUAAUCUCCCAGACUCAUCUGGACUUUUUCUGCUCCAUCAUCUUGCAUUCCCAACUCGUCCGUACUUCACGGAGAUCGAACUCCUGAGAUUCAUACCUACUUUCCAAUCAUCAAACUUUGAAGAGUCUUCUUGAUUAUCUUUCCAGGAUCGUCGUCGUAAUCCUUCACCGUCUUUUCACCGCAAGUCUAUUCCUUGCCCCUGAUCAGGUUCUGUGGGGAUCUCUUGCCAAAAGGGUUCACAUUACCACUGGUAAGUGAAUGAAGGUAUCUAACAGUACCUGCACAAGAGAUCGCCAGAUAAAAGCGUGCCCCAGGCAUGCCCCAGGCAUUUCAAUAUUGCAACGCCUAGGUCACUCAAACUUCCGGAUAAGAUUUCCGGAUUUCAAUCUUAUAAGCAUGCAUCGGAAGGGACCUCUAUGUUUCAAAAUGCAAAUAUUCUUAUCAAACUAAACGGAUGUUUUCGUAAUCAAAACGGUAAUGUCACAAAAACAGAAUUUAUUUGACUGAACACACACUUUAUUGACUGAAACAAAAAGGAUAGCUCAAAACCGAGCGACACACAGGAAGCAAACCCUGGAAAGAGGUGAUUGCGUACAAAAGGAAAAAUCUAUCCUAAUGGCAAUGUGAAACCGUGAUCUCAUCGGGUUCCAACUCAGUUACACCUCNNNNNNNNNNNNNNNNNNNNNNNNNNNNNNNNNNNNNNNNNNNNNNNNNNNNNNNNNNNNNNNNNNNNNNNNNNNNNNNNNNNNNNNNNNNNNNNNNNNNNNNNNNNNNNNNNNNNNNNNNNNNNNNNNNNNNNNNNNNNNNNNNNNNNNNNNNNNNNNNNNNNNNNNNNNNNNNNNNNNNNNNNNNNNNNNNNNNNNNNNNNNNNNNNNNNNNNNNNNNNNNNNNNNNNNNNNNNNNNNNNNNNNNNNNNNNNNNNNNNNNNNNNNNNNNNNNNNNNNNNNNNNNNNNNNNNNNNNNNNNNNNNNNNNNNNNNNNNNNNNNNNNNNNNNNNNNNNNNNNNNNNNNNNNNNNNNNNNNNNNNNNNNNNNNNNNNNNNNNNNNNNNNNNNNNNNNNNNNNNNNNNNNNNNNNNNNNNNNNNNNNNNNNNNNNNNNNNNNNNNNNNNNNNNNNNNNNNNNNNNNNNNNNNNNNNNNNNNNNNNNNNNNNNNNNNNNNNNNNNNNNNNNNNNNNNNNNNNNNNNNNNNNNNNNNNNNNNNNNNNNNNNNNNNNNNNNNNNNNNNNNNNNNNNNNNNNNNNNNNNNNNNNNNNNNNNNNNNNNNNNNNNNNNNNNNNNNNNNNNNNNNNNNNNNNNNNNNNNNNNNNNNNNNNNNNNNNNNNNNNNNNNNNNNNNNNNNNNNNNNNNNNNNNNNNNNNNNNNNNNNNNNNNNNNNNNNNNNNNNNNNNNNNNNNNNNNNNNNNNNNNNNNNNNNNNNNNNNNNNNNNNNNNNNNNNNNNNNNNNNNNNNNNNNNNNNNNNNNNNNNNNNNNNNNNNNNNNNNNNNNNNNNNNNNNNNNNNNNNNNNNNNNNNNNNNNNNNNNNNNNNNNNNNNNNNNNNNNNNNNNNNNNNNNNNNNNNNNNNNNNNNNNNNNNNNNNNNNNNNNNNNNNNNNNNNNNNNNNNNNNNNNNNNNNNNNNNNNNNNNNNNNNNNNNNNNNNNNNNNNNNNNNNNNNNNNNNNNNNNNNNNNNNNNNNNNNNNNNNNNNNNNNNNNNNNNNNNNNNNNNNNNNNNNNNNNNNNNNGUUACACCUCAUAUGUCCUCAAGACUUUCCGCACUUUUUGUUUUCUGAACAAGACGCUUCCGAUCGGUCUCUUGCGGAGAUUAUCCAUGUUAUCAUGAGCACAGACGAUCAUGCCAGACGCAGUUGUUCGUUUCAUUCCCUCUUUUGCCUGGACCGCCCUUUCGGGUUUCAGUCCACCGGGAUACCCUUUUUUGCCCAAGUCGCCCUUGCGGGUUUUCAACUUGCCGGGUGUACAGUUCUUUUCUUUUAUUAUCCCUAACUUUUGCCCGAACCUUUCCCUUUUUCUUGGUUCGCCGGGAUGCCCAUUUUUGCCUGGACUCUUUAUUCUUUUGGUCCAGCGGGUCUCUUUCACGAAGUAUUUUCUAACUGCGUCCGCAUUCACAGGGGAUGGAAAGUCUUUGUCAUCCGUGGUCGUUAACAACGGGGUUCUGUCAGAGAGAACUUUCUUGACCACGAAUGGACACUCAUAACUGUUUAUCCAUUUGCCCCAUAAUCGUCUUGAGGAGGAAGGAUCCUUUUCAACCAACUCUUCCACGUGGUACGCACGCGGUCACACUUCUCGGUCAACAACACGCGUCAUUCACUGGGUACAACUGCCCCAUGACAAGUAACUGCUAGUCCUUCUCCCUGUUAGGCUCAACUUGUCACACUGAGUCCCCAUCCACUUGCCCUUUUCUAAUCAGGAUAUCAGAUGGUAACAUUAAUUCCUUCCCAUACACCUGUGUGGAAGACAUUACUCCCAGUAGAUACACAUCCCAAGGUUCAGUACCCAGGAUACAUACUUUAUAUUCAGUCACCAUUGUUGGUGCGACCAAAUGUGAUCCGGGAGGCACUACCUCAUUCACCCUAACUUCCCCAUCAGACAUCGGAAUCCGUUCGGAUUCAGGGCCAGGCCCCUCCUCCGGGAUCGGUCAUUCCCAAUCUUUCGAUUUGAGUACCUCGAGACGUCCUCAUCAGGGAUCUUAAACUUCCUUGGUUGAUAACCUUCCAUGGGUUGCUGCUAGCUCUUCAAACACAUACCUGAUUAGAUCCAUUUUGGACAUCCACAAAGUGAUUUGAAUCAACAUACACUGUCUCAGUCGGCGAGCAGCCUAUGCCAAAGUACAUCAAGUUUUUUCGAACAGUGAGUGUAUUGUUUCACAGUCGAUAAACUCUUUGCUUAGGUAAAUUGCGUGCUCUUUUCGACAAGACUAGUCAUGCUGACACAGUACGCACCUCAUAGACCCCUUGAGGGCUGUCAAAUACCUGAUUAACAGUGGUUUCUUCCAAGGAAGGCAUCAGAAUCAGAGGUUCCUGCUACUCAUUUUUCUUUCCAUGCCCCUUGGCAGUCACCAUUCCACCUGACCAUUUGAUUUUUUCUUCUUUUUUCGGUUCAGGCAUUUCUUUUUCUCUCUCUCUUUUUUUUUUUUUUUUUUUUUUUNNNNNNNNNNNNNNNNNNNNNNNNNNNNNNNNNNNNNNNNNNNNNNNNNNNNNNNNNNNNNNNNNNNNNNNNNNNNNNNNNNNNNNNNNNNNNNNNNNNNNNNNNNNNNNNNNNNNNNNNNNNNNNNNNNNNNNNNNNNNNNNNNNNNNNNNNNNNNNNNNNNNNNNNNNNNNNNNNNNNNNNNNNNNNNNNNNNNNNNNNNNNNNNNNNNNNNNNNNNNNNNNNNNNNNNNNNNNNNNNNNNNNNNNNNNNNNNNNNNNNNNNNNNNNNNNNNNNNNNNNNNNNNNNNNNNNNNNNNNNNNNNNNNNNNNNNNNNNNNNNNNNNNNNNNNNNNNNNNNNNNNNNNNNNNNNNNNNNNNNNNNNNNNNNNNNNNNNNNNNNNNNNNNNNNNNNNNNNNNNNNNNNNNNNNNNNNNNNNNNNNNNNNNNNNNNNNNNNNNNNNNNNNNNNNNNNNNNNNNNNNNNNNNNNNNNNNNNNNNNNNNNNNNNNNNNNNNNNNNNNNNNNNNNNNNNNNNNNNNNNNNNNNNNNNNNNNNNNNNNNNNNNNNNNNNNNNNNNNNNNNNNNNNNNNNNNNNNNNNNNNNNNNNNNNNNNNNNNNNNNNNNNNNNNNNNNNNNNNNNNNNNNNNNNNNNNNNNNNNNNNNNNNNNNNNNNGAAGAUAAACACUGAGACCUGAGCUAUAUAAUCAACCAAUACCUCAUUGUGAAGUACCAGGAAUUCAUCCUUCAGAUUAGCUCUGUUCACGUCUUGGUGCCCCCUACACCUUCUCAUCUUUCAGCACCGGUUUCCGCUUCACUAGAGGACAGUCUUCUCUUAAGGGUAGCUUGUGCCCCACAACAUCGGUAUUCCACCCUGGUGUAUCUUGAUGCAACCAGGCAUCCACCUGCUCUUCUAACAGGGCUACCAUUCUGUUCUCGACUUGCCUCUGAAGCGGCCUCAACUUUCACUUUCCCUUCUGACCUCGGCGGUACUUGGGAUGACAAACUUGAUUCGCUCCUCGUGCGGUUGAAUCACCUUCUCCUCUUGUUUUGACAACCUGGUUAAUCCCAGCAGAUCACAAUCUUCUUCGCCUUCUUCUUUGGCGUGAUAGGUCGGAUGGUCGAAGUCAUACAGAGGUGUAAUCAAAUUGUUAUCGAUGAGAUCAGGAUGAUAAUCACUUUUGAGGUUGGAAACGAGACAAAUCUAAAGGAAAUAGAACGAAAAAAACAUUGCCAUUUAUCUGUUUUUAAAAUUGCAAAAUUAAAUGAAAAACAGGGAACACCGCUUUUAACUACAAAAACAUCCAUUCAUUACUGAUGCAAAAUGUUGCAAAAUGAAACACCUGAGGUGGCCCUUACAAUGGACCAGUACGUUUCGGGCAAAACGUAUGGCUUUCAUGCAAACAAAAUUAAAACACAGAAAUACUACACUUCCGGAUGAGCGACAGUGAUGCUUUUAGAGGCCUUCCAAUCGCCUGGUAUGCACGAUUUUAUCCACGCCUCGAGCUCGCGGUCAUGGUCAAUCUCUUCACUCACUGAACGAGCAUGAUCAGAAUCCAGCAUUCCUGCACUGACGAAGGUGUACGGCGGGCGACAUCCUCUAUUUGGUCUAGACAACUCUUGAUCUGGCUGAUAACCGACCCCAAACAUGUCUGCUUUCACCACGAUGUCGAUGAUCCUUCCCCAGCCUUGGGCCUCUUUGUUCUUUACCACUUCCAGAGCUUGUUUAUAAGAAGAAAUAGACAGCUUCUUCUCUUUCUCGGCAUCCAAGGCAUUCUCCACCUGGACGGUUUCAAUUGCCAGACUGGAUGCUCUACAUCUUACAUCGUCCAUUUCUACUUUCUUCAUCUUCUGGGUCGUGUCUUUCAUCAAUACACACCCCUCUGUAGUGACAGUCGCACAAGUAUUAUCAACAGCAGGGAAGGCUCCAGCCCGUAGCAGAAGUUUUGGAACCAUAGCCAUUGGACCUUUUAGCUGACCCUCUUCAAUCACUUCUAUUCCUUUCCUGUUCUUUUUCACCAUCUUGACUUUUACGGGACCCUGCCUGGAUACGGGGUUGACAUCCUCCUUCAUUAUCUGUCCCAAGCUGAUAAUCUUAGAGUCCACCAGAUCUUGGACAAUAUGCUUAAAAGCUCUGCAACCUUCAAUGCUGUGUCCGGGUGCUCCAGAGUGAAACUCGCACUUGGCACUCUCAUCAUAGUUUGCAGGCCUCCGCUGCUGUUCUGUAGGAAUCAAAAUCCUCGGUCGAACUAAUCCCAGAUCCCUCAACCUCCUGAACAGAAGGGUAUAAGUUACGGGUGGCUCUUCAAACUGACGAUCCUCCUUCUCCUUCUUCACCCAGCUCUUAGCUCUCGGUGUCUUCUGUUGAGGUGGCAGUUGUUGCUGUUGAGCAGGUGGAUUGUUGACAGGAGUGGUUACAGUGGCAGCAUAAGGGUGAUAACGAUCUUUACUACGUUCUUUCUUUGUGGGCACACCAACUGGCUCAACCUCCUUCUUGAAUGGACCACUAUCGGAGGGUUUCUUUGCUACAGUACCAGAAGGUUUGUUCACUUCGGAGGACGAAGCCUUCCCCUGAACUUUUUCCACUAUCAGCCACUUCUCAAUCUUUUCCAAUCUCUCAGACAUGACUUUCUGUCCCAAGGCAAGCCCUUGCACAACACUGAACAAGUCCCUCAUCAUCUCUUUUAGUUCAAGGAUAUCGGCGUUGGGAAGAUCCAUCAGCUUGGAUUUGGUGACCCCCAGCAGGUUAUCUGAACAGACGAGCUAUGCGCACCGGUUGAAUACUGAAACCUACAAAACAGCAAAUGGGUUAGUAUGACUCACACAUGCAAUGUCUGUCCGUACCAGGAAUAUUCAGUCUUGACCCCCAGCAGGUUAUCUGAACAGACGAGCUAUGCGCACCGGUUGAAUACUGAAACCUACAAAACAGCAAAUGGGUUAGUAUGACUCACACAUGCAAUGUCUGUCCGUACCAGGAAUAUUCAGUCCUGUUUUUUUUUAUGGUUUCAUUGAGACAGAUAAAAUUUUAUCCACAACAUUUUGACAUCUGGAUGUCUCUCAACCUGGGUCUUAAUUUAAAAAUAAUGGACCCUGAGUACGGACAGACAUGAGUUGAAUGCAGAUGAAUGCGAGAUGAUAUGAUGCAAAUGCAUAAAUGCAGGCCCUUGUGCCACCAAAUCAUCUGAAGACCUCACACUUCUCUGAACCAGUCACAUCUGUGGGACCAAGUCACCAUAAAUCCAACUUGGGGGGGUUCCGAAAUAAACGGAACCGGAGAUUACAUCACUAUCUUCACAGGAACAAACACUGAACGGAUGACAAACGGAUCCUCUGAACAAGUGCUCUCAAUCCAACCCGGGGAUCCGAAAUAAACGGAACCCGCUGAUAAACCACGGACAGAACUCUGGCGUCCCAGAAAUAAGUGCCCAUAAUCCAUAGUCACUGUCAGUACCAAGAGUCACCAACAAGUCACCAACCAAUCAUCAACUGUACCUGUAACGAUCAAAUCCCCUCCCCACUCACGGGUGUCAUCUAGGUCAGGGUAAAGUCGAAAGAAACACAGCAUAAAUAACCUUUCGCAGAAUAUCAUCAUAUACACACCCGAAGUAUGUAACGACAAUAUCCCACCAGGGUCUAAACUGCUCGUGAUAUCAAUGUUCCGCUAAGUGGCGCAAUACCACCCGCUUUCCAUGAAUCACUCUAUUCCUAAGUAUCCUAGAUUUCACUCAUAGCCUGGGUAUUGGGCCUUUUACCUCAAGUGACUCCCACCCCCCAAUCAGAGAAACACAGACAGCACAGCAGAUGAAUAUGAAUGAAUGCAAACAUUAAUGCACACAAUAAAUGCAAACAGUAAAUGUACAUAUAUACAAUGAAUGCAAUAAAUAACAGCAAAUAGCAACCAAAACCCUAACCUAGAGAGCGUUAGGAGGAACUCGCUCAGGGAAGAUGGACCAGCAGAGGUCAACUUCUCUAGAGUCCCCAGCAGAGUCGCCAGCUGUCGCAUUACGCGAAAAAACCGGCGGGAAACAAGAAACAACAGAGCCGCCACCGUGCGUUAUUUAUCCCAAAAGAGGGAAAGGAAACGCUCAGAGUAAACCUGGAAAAAGCAUGGUCUCGCGACCACCAGAGUAUGGGUUUCGGGAGUCGGUUAUGCGAAGGGAAGGUAUUAGCACCCCUACGCAUCCCGUAGACUCUACGGGAUCCACGCACAAGAAAGGAAAUUUGGUUGCUAACACCUGCUCAAACAAUCUACACACACCUGGCUGAAAGAAAGAAAGAAAGACUGACUGAAAACUGACUCGGCAGGAUGUCGCAUCCUGGCCUACUUAGUCUAUCAGGCAUAGACAUCAGAGUCGAAGUAGUUCGGACUGGGGAAACCGACACAUGCUGCGCUAGGAUUCGCAUCCUAUGCAUACGUAUCUUCUCGGACGAGAAGAAGAAUCAGAGCAUUCGUAGCUCGCCUGACACGCGCACAAACAAACACAGAAAGGCAAACGUGGAGCCCGACUGCCAAUCACUGGACUUAUGCAAGCAUCGCAACCAAACACACAACAAGAAGGCAAACAUGGAGCCUGAAUGCCAAUGCUGGACUUACAUCAGCAUCCGAAACCAAACACACCGCACACUGGAACCCAAUGCCACUCGAUGGACUUACAUCAGCUUCCAACCACACACACACACUGAACCAAUGCCACUCGAUGGACUUACAUCAAGCUCCAAGCACACAACAAACACAACAAGUUAAUAGGGAGUCGGGGACUCGAGCCAUAACGUGCAAGCACACACACAAAAGAAAAGAAAAGGCGCCCGGAGAGAUCAGCUCAAUCUCCUGCCUACAUACUUCAUCUGGUAUGAAGAUCAGGGCGAUGUAGUUCCCCUACGAGGGGAAAAGGCUAGCCUAACCAGAUAACAGAGGGAGCACAACUCUAGGGAGACUACGACUCGAGCCUAGAUGUUUUCAUGCAAAAGUCACCCUAAGUUAAGGUUUCUAGCUAAAGGCACAAGGGCCACCUACCCUAAGCAUGGCUCACACAGGAAGCAAGCCACACACACUUAACUUGCACAGGAGCAAGCCAAGCAAAACCUACUGCACAGGAAGCAAGUCUAAACUAAUCCAACUUGCACAGGAAGCAAGUCAAACAAUCCUAUCUGCCACAGGAAGCAAGUCAAACAAUCCUACAAGCAAACAGAUAGCACAACGUAUACCACAAACAAGUGGCUCAAACAAGGGUUAGGUUUAGUCAAGGGGUCAUAUCAACCUCAACAAACAAACUCUGGAAUGGGUGAGUGCUCUAACCUUGCCAUUGAGGGGCUAAGGUGAAGCAGAUGAAAGUGAGUGAGAUGAAAGACUCACAGCUCUAUCCCUGGCCUGGGAGAGCUCAAGACAAGAAUGUGUGGGUCCAGAAGUGGGGAACCCUUCUACACAUUUAAACUGACUCAACUGUACAAUUGUACAAGAUCUUGGGUUUGUUAUCUGAAAUGCAUCAACACAGUGGUGUGAGCAAAGCAGAUGACACACUGAAUAGUGGGGGAUAGAUUGCAUCCCUACUUCCACCAAUUGCCUCUUCACUUAGGAGGCUUUGACUCUAUGCAAGGACAAAAUAAACAUCACAAAACAUUGCCUCUUAAGGAGGACUUCAGACAGUUGCCUGGCCAAGUAACAGGCCAGGUCUUCCAGACUACAUGAAGUAAAGAGACAUACCUCAAUGCAAAUUGCUUAUACAAGCAAAGCAAAGCAAAAAGUUCACAAGGAACUAAGCAACUAAAAGCACCUGAAACAGUCAAGCAGAUGUUAGUAUGCAACUCAAAAACAAACAAAACAGAAACAGACAACACGUCUUAGAGGCACAUGGAUGUGCAAGGCACAAGGCUAGGGCAUGUGAGCCAAGCCACCUACAAAACAAAAGAGUUAGACAAUGAUACUUAGAAGCUCAAUCAAAAGAAUUGGUCUUAAUGGCCAUUUGUGGUCAACCUGAAACACAAACUCAAAGUGAGUAACAGGACCACUAGGGCAAGCCUAGGUCAAAAGUGAAUGAGAAAGUCAAACAGCAAGGAUAUAUCAAAUCAUGUUCAACCAUUAAGGAACAACCAAUUGGGUUCACAUCUAUAAAUCACUAUCAUCAUUUCAUGACCAAUUUAGGUCAAAACAUGGCAAAAGAGCUCAUAGAAGUCAACAGCAAGACUUCAUCAAAAGCAAUCUAAAACAUUUUCCAAAAAUCACAAAUAAAUCAUGAUCAAACCUAACCACAUAGCAUGGUAAGCAUGUCAAAUUUCAUCCAUUUGGACAAGUGGAAGGCAGUCAAUGAAAAUCAGAAAGUCAAAGCCCAUUUGAAACAUGCUCAAAGAAGUCAACCAAACAUGCAUCAACUUGAAAAAAUCAUAAAUCAGUGAUAGCAUAUGAGAAAUGAAUGGGAUCAAAACCAUGGCAAAGCUUAAGAUGUCUCCUAAUCACAUAUCAAAUUUCAUGUCCAUCCAAUAAAGUAUGAGAAUUUCACAAAUGAAAUGGGAACAUGUGUCACAAAAAGUCAACAUAAGACCAAACAGGGAACAAAAAUCUCAAACAAUUAGGAAAUGCCACAAACAAUUCCAAGAAAAAUCACAUGUAAACUAGACAUACUCAAGUACAUUCAUGCAAAAAUUCAAUCCAAUUUGAGGUCAAGAGGCAUAGUAUUGAAAAUCAUCAAGUUGCACAUCAAUGGUGUGACACAAAUUGUCACACCCUACUUCAAAAAAUCAUAACUCAAUGACCAGAGAUGAUAAAUUCAUAAACUUUAUACCAAAAUCACCAUGGAUAUGUCUAGUUUAAACAUAAAAAAUUUCAAGGCCAAUGGAUAAAGCAUCACUAUUUCACAAAGGAUUUGGCAAAAGGUACAAAAAAUGGAUACAUGUCACAAACCCUAAUACCAAUUAAAAACCAUUCAUCAAAAAAAUCAGGAAAAAUCAUGAUUAAAUAAUAGAGAUCCAGAUGAACACAAUGCAAAAAAUCCCAUUAAUUUUGGAUUAAACAUGGAUGAGAUAUGAUUUUUACAAGUUUGAGCAUCAAACGAAAUUAAAAUUGCAAAGAAUAACAUGAAUUAAUAGUUAAUUAGGCACGGAAUGGCAGUUUUGUAAAUACUUGAACCACUUAACAAAACGCUGCGUACAGGCAAGGCAAAUGAAAUGUUGUGAUUGGCUGAUGGUGAAUGGAACAGUAAACAUCAUGCAUAACACGUGAACAGGAAACGAAAACCUGGGCAUGGCUAGGGUUCAUCGUGUACAGUGGACCUUCAUCAUCAAUGAUGAACAAAAAUCCCAGAAAUGGGAAUUAAACACAACAAUCAACUCGUCUAGUCAUGUGCAAUACCAAUCUAACUUCAUUUUUUACCAACUCGAGCUAAACAAAACAAAACAUGCAAAAAUAUAUUUGAUUAUCAAACUUGAAUUUCAAAUUUCUCUCUCAAUACCUAGCCAUUUUCUUCGAUUCAAAGCUCAACAUGUUCAUGGUAAGAAAAUCUACAAGAUGUACCUCAUGAUUUCAAGAAUGGUUAAACUCGAAUCUCACCUGAUCUUGAAGGGCAGUGAUGAUUCAAUGGUUUUCUGGCCAAGAUAGGUUGAAACAGAUGCAUCCUUAAGCUCCAAGAAGUAUAUGAAAGGUGAAUCGUGGCUCAAAUCCUCUUGAUUGUGCUCAGAAUGUCAACUGCCAUGGAAGGAGCUUGGAAGAACAGUCCAUGAAUCCUUGCUUACAGCUGGACAAUGAUGCUUGCAAAGAGCUCAAAAAUGGUGGUGAAUGAUGAAGCAACUAAGGCUGGCUCGAGGGCUUUGAGGUUUUGUCAAGAAAAAUCCAAAAUGCAAAAUGAGGGUUUUUGAGAGGAUGCAACUUUUUUCUGUUUUAUCAAAGUGGCUAGGGCUUUGUUCAGAUUGGAGAAUGAAAUAUAUACCUCUGUUUAAGGUUUGUUAAGUUCGGUUAAGAGAGAGAUAAUCAUGAUUGCUUAAUAAAGUGUAUUUGGACCAAUUGCUAAAAAUUAACAAUGUGCAUGGGGGGGGUGCAUGGAUGUGCACGAAUUGGGCUGCCAACAAGUCCCAAAUGUAAUUUGUGAUCAAUUCCAAAUGGUACAAGUGGUUGAAAAUGUUUAUUUUGAAAAGUCAAAUUUUCACUACACUUGAAAAUAAUUCAUGUAAGUUCAAAAAUGCCAUUUUGAUUGGUGAAGUUUUGGUGAAUGAUGAUGACAUAUUUGGAAAGAGGGCAUCAAAUGUGACUUGUAUCAAAAAACCCCACCCAAUUUGGCCAAAUGGUUUGAGAGAUAUGGCCUUUUGAAGUUCAAAAAUUUCUGAAAAUGAUUUGAUCAUAACUUGCCAACCAUACAUGGGAAUUGAGUGUUCUUGGACUUUUUGGAAAUGGGAGAACAAGAUCUUCAACUUUCAUGUUGGGCAAAAAUUCAUUUGAAGCUUGUAUCAUGAUGUAAGUUUGGGAUCAAGAAGUUUCCAUUUUUGGCAAAUUCCAAUUACAAGUCAAGUUUCUAUUUUUGGAAAUUUCUUGUCUGGCUUCAAAUUCUUCCAUGAUGGUGUUUGACAUGUUAUAUGAGGCCUAUAUGGACAUGAAUGAGCCCUCUCAAACCAAAUCCCACCAUCAAAUCCAUAAAAACAGACACAGUUGACCAACAGUUGACUUUUUAAGGUUUCUGGUGAACUGGACCAUGACUGAUGACUUCUGAGCAUUCAAACCUUGACCAAAACACUUCAAAAGGACCCCUAGGUCAUGUGAACAUGUUGUACCAACCUUAGGGCCUUGGCUCAAUGAAAAUUGUACUCGCUUGCUUGACUGACUGAUCUCCUGACCAGUUUGACCUAAUCUGACUGAAUGGCUUGCACUUCAGGUAAAGGGACAAUGCAAUGCUAUGCAGUGGACCAUGUUAUGUUAUGACCUAAUAUGAGAAUGUAUGUACAAUGAUAGGUGCAAAUUUGAGGUGCUACACUACCCAAGACAUGAAAAUGUCAUGUGAUCUGACAAAUCCUUUUGUGAUAAUACUUAUAUGUACAAUUACCAUUUUGCCCUUAUGUCUAUAUUGAACAUAAGGCAUAUAUCAUGUCAUCCUUGUCCAGUUCAAUAUUGGGCCCAUAGACAUUUAUCCUGUUACGCAGGAUGGGCAAAUUCCAUCUAGGUCACUCAUGUCCCUUAGCAUGCUUCGCGGAGUACCCAUCAACUAUCUUUAUGGUCAUCCAGUUUCGGACAAUGUUUGAUCAUCAAUAAGGCACUUGACUCUACAUCUAGGGUCCAUAGUGGUUUCAGGUCGAAGGGUGGUAUACACCAUUAUCACCAUGAGAAUAACUUAUGACACUUUGCAUAACAUUCUAUAUAGUAUGCUCAGUUAGCGGGUCAAAUCCAGAUAAAUAUACUCUUAAUAUUCAUACCGGGAUGGUGUUUUAAGACUGAUAACUCCUUAUCCAUGAUCCAUGAGACGUGAUCAUCAGUCUAUUAUACAUAAUAGUCUUAAUGCUUUAAUGUUAUCCCACUUCACAAUAAAGCUCGACUAUGGAUACUUUAAGAAUAAUGUCCUUAUGUUUAAUGUGAUCUCAUGAUUAAGUCAUACUUGAUACAUUAAAUGGACUAUCUAUUCUAGGGACUUUAUUAGACAAACAUAAUAAAGAAAAAGCCUUUUAUUAAUAAUAAAUAAUUCGAUACAAGUACCAAAAGUAUUGGCCUCUAGGGCUUACACCAACAAUCUCCCACUAGCACUAGAGCUAAUCAGGCAUACCCGUAAUGCCCAUAGAUCUAGUAUGGCCAUCAUGCUUCUGCUGCGCAAAAGGCUUUGUCAGUGGGUCAGCAAUAUUGUCAAGUGUAGGUACUCUGCAUAUUUUCACAUAUCCUCUAUCUAUUAUCUCUCGAAUAAGGUGAUAACGCCUAAGUAUGUGUUUGGAUCGUUGGUGAGAUCUAGGUUCCUUAGCUUGUGCGAUAGCAUCAUUGUUAUCACAAUAAAGACCAAUGGGAUCCACAAUGCUAGGAACUAUGCCAAGCUCACUAAUGAACUUUUUGAUCCAAACAACUUCCUUUGCCACACUUGAGGCAGCAAUAUACUCGACCUCGGUUGUAGAAUCAGCAACUGUAUCUUGCUUUGAACUUUUCCAACUCACAGCGCCACCGUUUAAGCAAAACACAUAACUAGAUUGCGAUCUAAAGUCAUCCUUAUCUGUCUGGAAGCUAGCAUCGGUGUUUCCAAUUACAGCUAGCUCUUCCUGACCUCCAUAUAUCAAGAAUGAGUCCUUAGUCCUUCUCAAAUAGUUAAGGAUAUUCUUGACAACUACCUAAUGAGCAUCACCAGGAUCAGAUUGGUACCUACUCGUUACAUUUAAAGCAUACGAGACAUCUGAUCGAGUACAUAACAUGGCAUACAUGAUAGAUCCUAUUGCAGAUGCAUAUGAAAUCAUCUUCAUGCGAUCCCUUUCUUCCUUAGUUGAAGGGGAUUGUGUUUUUGAUCGGCACAUGCCAUGUUGCAUAGGUAUGAAUCCUUUCUUGGAAUCAUACAUAUUAAAGCGUCUCAGCACUUUGUCUAUGUACGUACUCUGACUUAGGCCAAGCAAUUUUUGUGAUAUAUCUCUAUAGAUUCUGAUUCCUAAUAUAUAGGCUGCUUCACCUGGGUCCUUCAUAGAAAAGCAUUUCCCCAACCAAGACUUUACUUGUUGCAGGGUAGGGACAUCGUUUUCAAUGAGUAAUAUGUCAUGUACAUAUAAUACCAAGAAAACGAUCAUGCUCCCACUAACCUUCUUGUAGAAACAAGGCUCAUCUUCAUUCUUGAUGAAUCCAUAUUGUUUUACUGUUUCAUCAAAAUGAAGAUUCCAGCUUCUGGAAGCUUGCUUAAAUCCAUAGAUUGAUCUUUGUAACUUACAUAUCUUUUGGGCUUCUUCUGGUAUGUCAAAUCCUUCAGGCUGUAUCAUGUACACAUCCUCAAGAAGAUUCCCAUUAAGAAAGCAGUUUUGACAUCCAUCUGCCAUAUUUCAUAAUCAUGAUAUGCAGCGAUAGCAAGUAAAAUCCGAACAGAUUUAACGUAACGUUGACCACUUUUCCAAAGUAGUAUCAGUUGGGGUACUUUUUGUUUAUAUCCUUUUGCAACUAGUAUUGCCUUAUAGGUAUGUACCUUACCAUCCAUGUCAGUCUUCUUUUUGAAGACCCACUUGCUUCCUAUAGGGUUAACUCCUAUAUGAGGCUCUACCAAGGUCCAAACUUGGUUUGUGUACAUGGAAUCCAUUUCAGAUUUCACGGCUUCUAGCCACUUCUCAGACUCGGGACCAGUUAUGGCCUCUUUGUAGGUCACAGGCUCAUCUUGAUCCAUGAGUAAUACAUCACCUUGAUCAGUUAUGAGAUAUCCAUAUCUCUCAAGUAGGUGAUGUAUCCUGCUUAACCUACGUUGGUCUUGUUAUACUUGAGCAGGUUGCUCUUCCACAACUACUUGUGUUUCCUGCUCUAAUUCCUCCAUAGGUGUAUCAAUGCUUUGUGAUUCUUGAAUUUCUUCAAGCUCUACUUUCCUCCCACUGAUUCCUUUGGAAUUGAGCAGGUUGCUCUUCCACAACUACUUGUGUUUCCUGCUCUAAUUCCUCCAUAGGUGUAUCAAUGCUUUGUGAUUCUUGAAUUUCUUCAAGCUCUACUUUCCUCCCACUGAUUCCUUUGGAAAUAACAUCCUUUUCUAGGAAAACUCCAGUUCGAGCGAAAAACACUUUGCCCUCAGAAGGAUUGUAGAAGUAAUACGCUCUUGUUUCUUUAGGAUACCCCACAAAUAAGCAUUUGUCAGAUUUGGGCUCAAGCUUAGUUGAAAUUUGUCGUUUCACAUAAACUUCACAACCCUAAAUCUUCAUGUAAAACAUAUGUGGUUUCUUACCACUCCAUAUCUCAUAUGGUGUCUUCUCAACCUUUUUGGAUGGAACACGGUUAAGUGUGUAAGCUGCUGUCAAUAGUGCAUGUCCCCACAAGGAGUUUGGAAGAUCGGCGUGACUCAUCAUGCAUCAGACCAUGUCUAACAGGGUUCGAUUUCUUCUCUCAGAUACACCAUUCCAUUGGGGUGUUCCAGGAGGAGUAAUUUGGGAUAGGAUCCCACACUCUUUCAGAUGGUCAUCAAACUCUAGGCUUAAAUACCACCACCGGUCGUUCUGAUCGAAGAGUUUAAUAUCUUACCUAAGUGGUUUUGUACUUCAUUUCCUGAGUUCCUGAACUUCAAAGGACCUGAUUUUGUGUUUUAUUAAGUACACAUAUACCAAUCUACUGAAAUAUCAUCAGUAAAUGUGAUAAGUAUUGAAACCUCCUAUGCUGGUAUGUUCAGUGUCACAUACAUCAUAGUGUAUGAGGGCCAAAAGAUCACUUAGCUCUUUCACAAUGACACAAAUUCCAACGUAAUGAAGAAUAUUAAUGCAUCAAAUUCCAAUGUAAAAUAAGAUGACCGCAGUCUCUAAAAAUGAAUCAAAUAAGAAUCAAAUAAGACCGCUCAUAAGUGCCAUUAAGUUAGAGGAGUAUACGAAAAUGAAGCAGUUUAAGUAAUCAAAAUUUAUCAUCACCAAUAAUCGACAAUCUAUCACUGGUAAAGGCUACUGAUUUAAAAACCUUCGAUAGUUUCAAUCAACUUCGAGACGCUAUCAGAUGUGAGAUCUAACUCAGGACGUUUCAAUGAUGUCAAUCGUGGAAAGAGCAUACAUGUCCUUGGUUCAUAACUUGUGGCAGUACAUAGAAAUAUCAUUCAAAUAAAUUGAGCAAACCAAUUCAUAACUUCUUCAUUAAUUAAACUGAAACAACCAAAACUUUGUCUCCACAAAAGAACAAACAGUAUAAAAUUGAUAUAUCUCAUAAGAAAAUUUCAGAAAUAAAUAACAGUACUAUUAAGUACAGUUAAAUACUAGAGCUGAAUUUUAUUAAUAAGCACGAGCUAUAGUAUAAACAAUACAUAAGUCCUACGCUAAAGCACGCUAACUUUCCCACCUUAUGGCGCGAAGCGCAUAGAAAAGGCUCCACAACUUUCUUGCGCACUAAAUCUCUACUCCUCUUAGGCCUCUCUGCAUCGAUCUGGUCACUACAAAGAAAGUUAAAGAAUAUGUUGGGUAGAAAAAACCGUACCGGAGUAUUCUUAAACUACCUUAGCAUGAACUGCACAAGGAAGUAGAUAAGAUUGAAUUGUACAAAAAAUACAAAAUACCAUUGAAUUCAAGUUCUCUACGCCAUUCUUUAAACUAUAAUCAUUCCAGGGUAUUGAUUUUUCUAAUUGGGGUGAGUUCUCACUUUCUUCUCUUCCGAGUGUCCGGUACUUGGACCAAUGGCAUAUGGACAGCACUGUGCCUCCUUGAGGCUAGCUAACCACAGUUAGCUAUCAACACGCAGCAACAACUCGUUGGCGGUCUGGUUGUGCAGCGUCGUUAUACAGGCAGUUCCCUAUAUCCGACAUAAGUUUCCGCUGGUGGGUCUUGUUUCUGUCCUUCCACUUUUUCCGAUCAUUCAGAAUGGACUUCUCCUUUUGACUUCAGCAUUCUUGCUCAGCAGUCUUAAACAGGUUAGCAGUUCAGGAAAGAUUGUGUUCAUAGAACUAUUAAAUAUUUAGUGACGAAAUGUCGAAUUAUCUGAAACGAUUGUAAGAUCUAAAUCAGUCGCAAGUUCCUUCCGAGUGGAACGCCAGAACCUCUCAAGGUUUUCCACAAGCCAAUCAUCUUGAGCACAUGGGCACUACAGGGGAUCUCUCAGCGAACUUUCCUUAAAAGGCUUUGAAACUUCAAAGCUUUCAUGCCUUGCUUGCUCUUGAUAAGGCAUCUUCAGGUGUUCGAUGACAUAUCGACGCUGCCAUGUCUAUGUUGUUUGCAACUCUGAUUCAUGUAGCUACAUAGAGCAAGCAGUGUCAUUGGAUCAUUGACAAUCUUCAAUAAGCAUCUCUCUCUUUCUGCUUAGUGAAGACUAGAGUCCACGUCAGGAACAGUUUCCUCCAAGACAUAGAACUUUCUAUCAUGUUGAGAUAAUCCAGAUUUUCGGUGCGCAAGCCCCAGAAAUUGUCGCGCCAGACAAUUUUUCCUUGUCAAGGAUUGAUUCCAAAAGGUUGUUAGAGGGCUAUAGAUCUUCCCAAAGUAAUACUACAUAAAGAUAAUGAAAAUAAUAUGCAAUAACAUAUUAUUAGGCCUUAAUUAAAUAUGCUCCACUCAUUUUUAUUCAAACAAAUGACGCCCUCAACCAAUUGAUUCGGAAAAUCCCGUUGAAGAUUUUCUAGUGGGUGAUGCCACAUGUUACUUUGUUAAGUCCCGGGGUAGUCGGUAUUUAACACAAAUAAGUUUUAGGAGGAACCUCCUGUCCAAUCGUAUCUAAUACAACCCGGAAUAUUUUAGUUGGUGAAUAAUCCUUAUCAAUCCAUCACAGGUCAUUUUCAGAUCUUGGCCUCUAAACCAUAUAUACAUCUAUUCAUAAUCUUGUUUGUGUAAUUGACCAUGUUUUAGCGAAUGAUAUUAACAACUUAUCUCCAUCACGAUAAAUCGCUCUCAUAGCAUCCACACAUAGCAUUCAGCGAGCAUCACAUCAACAUAAUGAGAACGAGUUAUGGCCCCGUAGCGCAAUGUUCUCCAAGCCCAAUCAGAGAACCAAGCUAACCUAGAUAACGAUCUAAGCUUCCUCCAAGCAAGAUGGCAAGGGUGUCCUCCUUGAUAUUGAAUUCUUCUCUUUCUUCAUAACGAAAGAAAAAUAUAAAAAAAAACAUUAAUAAAAGAAAUCGUUUCAUACAGAGUGAGUAGAUGAGAAAAAAGUUACAUUACAGAGAUAAAAGAGAGGUGCGCCACGCAGGUCCUUAUUUGUUAAAACCAAAACAAAAUAAAGAAAACUAAGCAAACCGCGACGAUCACCACAAGACAAUAAUAAUAAACACAUUAUUAUUAUUAAUUUUAAUUCUUUUAAUUAAUUAAAACCAAAUUAAAUUUUGGCGACCGAUCACACUACACAGAGUUAGCCGGGGGUCCGCUGCCCGGUCAGCGGACGGUAGUUCCGCUGACCGAUCAGCAGACGGGGGUCAAGGGGGAAGCUCCCCCUUGCGGGGUUGUAGGGGCAGCGCCCCUGGCGGAAAUGUUUUAAUGAACAAUUCAUUUGAAAUUGACGCCGUUUUUCGCAUCAACACUUGAUACUUUAAAGCACAACUCUUGCACAGUCACAACCCUAAUCGCAUAAAUCUUUAACAACACAACCCUUGUACCGUCAUUAACCCUAAUGCACCAAUUUCAGACCGUCAAAUACACCUCGAUUGUUGAUUCAUUAUGAUUGAUCAACACAUCAUUGCUUCACCAUAGUAAUGUCGGAUCAAGAAGCAAACGACCAUUGAUCGCUCAAAGGAAAACAACCAUUAAGUGUUUGAAUGAACGAAACAGAAACAAUAUAUCAUAUAUACCAUAUUUAUAUCAGGAUUACUUAUAUCAUAUAUAUAACUUGAUCGAUCUCAAUUGCAUAACCUAUGGACGGUCGAUGUAUCACUGCUUCACCAUAAUAAUGUCGGAUUUCGAAGCAUAGUUAACAUCAAUCAUCCAAAUCAUACACACAUGAUGCCAAAUUUAAUUACUCGUUUAUUCUUUGAUUCAUUCUGUCUUUUAAUCAUAUUGAUACAGAAAAUACAGAAAAUAAACAGCUAUCAGAUGCAUGGUUUCAUAAGUGGCUCUGAUACCACUGAAGGAGAAGAGCGAUCCAAAACGCAGCGGAAUUUAAAAUUUCUCCUUUAGUGAUCCUUACGAAUGGGCAUGAUCAAUGAUAGAAUCGUUACCUCUUGUGGCGAUUGUAACCUUUGAUGCAGAUCUGCGGAGCGAUCAUGAACAUUGAACGAUGACAACGCCUCUACUCAGUCCACACGAACAAAUUCCUUCAAUCUCAGUGCUAGCUGCUACGAAUGAAGGCUUUGAGUGAGAGAGAGAGAGAGAAACAAAAUUACAACUGCACAAAUGCUUCUACACAAGGGUUCUAUUUAUAGAACCACUUGUGUGGGCUGCAAUCUAAAAAUCCCACUCAAGUGUAUAUGGCCCAUAUCUUAUAAUAUGCCAAAAUCACUUAAGCGCGUGGUACCUUACCAUAUUUCGUAUUCUACUUAAGUACACCAUACCUUACGAUGUUCUACAAUUCACUUAAGUGCACCUUACAUUACAGUAUUCCUUAGUUACUCUAUCUCUCAUCAAUCCUUCCUUUUGUGUGUGACCCUGUAGGUUUUCACGACAUUGGCAAUUAUAUUAAAUCACGUAUUUAGCAUAAUAAACAGUGAGCGGUAUCUAGCAACACAUCACUGCUACCCAAGACACGAAAAUGUCAUGUGAUCUGACAAAUCCUUCUGUGAUAAUACUUAUGGUUGUACGAAUUUACCCUUUUUGCCCUAUGCUCUAUAUGAACACAAGGCAUAGACCGUGUCCUUGUCCAGUUCAAUAUUGGGCCCAUAGACAUUUACCUGUUACGCAGGAUGGGAAAAUUCCAUCUAGGUCACUCAUGUCCCUUAGUAUGCUUCGUGGAGUACCAUCAACUGUCUUUAUGGUCAUCCAGUUAGUGGACAAUGUUUGCAUCACAAUAAGGCACUCGACUCUACAUCUAGGGUCCAUAGUGGUUUCAGGUCGAAGGGUGGUAUACACCAUUAUCACCAUGAGAAUAACUUAUGACACUUUGCAUAACAUUCUAUAUAGUAUUCUCAUUGGGGGGAAAUCCAGUAUAAAUAUUACUCUUAAUAUUCAUACCUAUGUUUUGAUAACUCCUUAUCCAUGAUCCAUGAGAUGUGAUCAUCAGUCUAUAUACAUAAUAGUCUUAAUGCUUUAAUGUUAUCCUACUUCACAAUAAAGCUUGACUAUGGAUACUUUAAGAAUAGUGUCCUUAUGUUUAAUGUGAUCUCAUGAUUAAGUCAUACUUGAUACAUUAAACGGACUAUUAUUCUAGGGACUUUAUUAGACAAACAUAAUAAAGAAAAAGCCUUUUAUUAUUAAUAAAUAAUUCGAUACAAGUAUCAAAAGUAUUGGCCUCUAGGGCUUACACCAACAUAAUGCACCUGCCACUUUCCAAAAAUGUACGAUGGUGAUCUUUGCCGACUUCCUAGAUAACAUCAUGGAGGUUUUUAUUAAUGACUUUUCUGUACGCGGGUCGAGUUUUAAAAACUGUCUUACCGACUUAGAAAGAGUACUAGGCAGGUGUAUGAAGGUCAACAUUCUGCUAAAUUGGGAUAAGUGCCAUUUCAUGGUGAAGGAAGGAAUAAUCCUCAAACAUGUGGUGCCCGAUAGAGGAAUUGAGGUUGAAAGGGUUGAAAUAGAGGUUAUUGAGAAUCUACAACCAUCCAAAAUCGUAAGAGAAGUCUGGAGUUUUCUCAGACACGCUGGUUUCUACCUACGAUUCAUAAAAGACUUCUCUAAAAACACCAAGCCUUUGACUGGUCUUAUGAUGAAGGACACUGAGUUCAUCUUUGAUGAACGAUGCCAUGAGUCCUUCCAACUUUUGAAAUGCACAUUGAUUUACUUCCCUAUAAUGCAACCACCAAAUUAUUGCCAACACUUUGAGAUCAUGUGCAAUUCCAGUGACCACGCAGUAGGUGUUGUUUUAGGACAACAGAAAACUAAGAAACUGCAUGUCAUCUAUUACGCCAAUAACACCCUUGAUGAAGCUCAAAUUAAAUAUUCUACUAUGGAAAAGGAGCUUCUAGCCAUCUUCUUUGGAGUCUAUAAAUUUUGUUUCUACCUAGUAGGAUAAACAAUUAUUGUAUACACGAACCAUGCGACUAUCAGGUACCUACUGGGUAAGAAAGAUACGAAGUCGAUACUAAUUCAAUGGAAUCUAUUGCUGCAAAAGUUCAACAUGGAAAUCCGUGAUAAAAAAGGAACUUAAAAUAUAGUAGAGGAUCACUUGUAAAGGAUCAAUGAUGGUAAAAUUGAAAAGUUGCCCAUUAAUGAUUAUUUCCAUUAUAAUAGGAUGGUAGAAUUUGUAAGAGCCGAAGUGCUUGUUAUGCUCAUCUCGCUAAUUUCCUUGAGGAUUUAUAGGCCUGGUACUAGGGGCUCAAAUAUGAAGAAAGAUUUGGUCCCGACGAAGUACUUUCUUUUCAGCAAAAGAAGAGGUGAAUAUAUACUUGUGCCAUUAUUUGUGCAUCUCAUCAUUCUGAGAGACAAAAGCUAUUUGGUGAGGACGGGGGUCUAAGAUACCAUUUUUUUGGACAAUGUUACCCGUGUCAUGCAAAUAACAUGGAACAAUUGCAUAAGGCUCUUGCACUCACCAAGGAUAAGGGUUUUACAACAAGAUUAUCUGGACGGAUAAUGGCUCUUAUUGUUGCUUCUACUUCUAUUCCGAGGUUCCAAUUACCGACUGUAGUGACUCCCCUAAUAGUAGUUACAAAUGUUACCCUGAGCAUAACCCCUAAGAUGAAAUAAUUGACUACUUCAGAGACCAACCUCUCUAAUCACGAGCCUUCACCAUCUCCAUAUCCUAUAAAGAGGAGUAAGAGUGAUAACCGUCUACCCCUACCGAAUAAGGAUCUUCCAAGUGCGAUCUCUUGCUGAAGGGUGUCGAGCAGGAGGCUCUUACUCCUUUCUUUUGGCUUCCUGCUAUUCUUCCUUCCCAGGUACCAAGCACUCUAGAGGAAUUUACUACUAAUGUGGCUAAUGAGGAUUUGGAUUUUGUAGAUGCUUUGCGUACCUUGUUCAGGGUCGGAUCCCUGGUUUCUAUGGUAGUUGCAGGUCAGGAUGACGCCAUGGGCUCUGGUAACCUUUCUAGGGAAUGAGAUAAGCUGAAAGAGAAAUACAUGGCCCUUGAGCGGGGAGAUUUUAAAGCUUAAAAAUAAGUUGGUUUUGUUGCGAGAAAAAGCUGAGUGUGUUAACUCUUUGCAAGAAGAGGUAGAUCGAUACGAUCUUCUUUCUAUUUUGGUCACUCAAAUAACAUAUUUGACGGCUUCUCUUACUGAUGCAGAGGAACACUAAAAGAAGGCUUCUGAAGAGGUGGCUGAAGUGUGUCGAACGUUUGAUGCAAAUUGGAAAGUUAUCCAACAGAAGAAGGAUGACCUAAUCAAUGAUUUAAAAUCCUUGAGGAGGAGGUCGCUAUUGGACAACAGAGAUCUCAGGAAUCCAUUCACCAGGAUGUGGAAGCCGCGUGUGGGAUCCAGGAUCAAAUAGUAGAGCAUGCACAAGAGCUAUCUCCUGGCCUUAAUGUUACUAUUGAUCAACUGAAUCUUUUCCCAGUGGUUCCUAGAGAGGAUGCUAGAAGUGGUCCGGGUGCUUCGGAGUCAAACGCUUACGUUCGAAGGACUUUUAUUUUCCUUCUUCUUAUUUUUAUCUGUUCCUCUAAGGUUUUUGUACGGGCUUUAUGCCAUCGACUGGUAACAUAAUAUAUAUAUAUAUUAUAUAUAUUUAUAUAUAUAUUAUAUAUAUAUAUAUAUAUAUAUAUUAUAUAUAAUAUAUAUAUAUAUAUAUAUAUAUAUAAAUAUAUAUAUAUAUAUAAUAUAUAAAUAUAUAUAUCAUUACCCUUUGUCUACUUGUGUUUUUAUUCGCUUUCGUAUUGCGCUUUUUCAACUGUUGUUAUUGUCCAACUGAGAUUCGAGGAAAGUUAGGGCUUAAUUUUGAGCCCUGCAGUUUGGACGAUAUGGUUGAUAUAAAGAGCAAUGAAUAAUAUUUGCUUAAAGUGUAAAUGACCUUUAGUAUUUUUGCGAAGUCAUGUAUGACUGCUUUGUUUGAGCGUGUGUCACGUUUAGAUGUACCCGAUAUUUCUGUGGAAUUCCUAGCCAGCCAAAUGUGGCUGUUACUUAAGUAUGCUUGCACGAGGGAAGCAUUGAUACUACUUGAUGUAUCAGUAUAUAAUAUUAGACCUGAUGAAAUACGAUCUAGGCUUCGAGAAUUUAUGGCUUAAAUCUCACCUGUAAGUAUUUCGUGUAGAACCAAAUAGAUGUGGCUAUGCCUUAAUCAGGUUUUUCAUGGAUAAGGCAUGUGUCUAGUUAAGCGUGGUUAUGUUUAGAAUUUUACUUACAAAUGAUGGACAUGAAACCAGAUAUAUAAUACCAUUACUUUUUAAUUGCACUCUGCAUUACAGAGGACCAUUCCUAGCCAAGGGUAGAGGAUUCCCGUCUCUGUCUUCGAGGUAAAGCUCUGGUCGAGGUGGACGUCUCUAGGCUCCACCACUCUUGCCAUUAAAUUGGCUAGAUAUGAAGGGGGAGGGGGUGGGUGCUCCAGCUACACAUAAAUUCCAGUAUAUCUUUGACAAGAGGUAUUUGAAUGCUGUAUUCGGACAUGCAAAGCGUCUCCGAUAGCACCCAUGGGGGAAUUUGUUGUUGAAGUUAGACGUGAAAAGCAUCUUUGACAACUCCCCUAGAUUCUAAAGUGGCAUAAGGUACUGUGGGGAAUUAAUUUUUAUAGUCGGGCAUACAAAGCGUAUCUGACAACACCCUUGGAUUUUGAAGGUGUGCAAGGCGGUGUGGGGAAUUGACUGUUGUAGUCGGGCACUUAUUGUGUAUUCGACAACACCCAUGAACUUAGAAGGCGCGCUCGGCUUGGAGGGGUUUAUUGAUUUUGUCAGGAGUUCAAGACGUAUCUGAAAACACCCCUGGAAAUCUUUAGAUUGGGUGUCAACUACUUUGGUUGUACCCCGGUUUGCUGUAAUAUGUAUUCGCAUUUUGGUGCCCUGAAGAAGAGACAAGGAAGGAAAUAGAACAACGAGAUUAUAUAGCAAUAUAUAUAUGUAUUCCAUUUCUAUAUUAUAUAAUUUAAUUUACAAAUACACUAAUUAAAUCUUACGGUCGACUGCAAGUGUGUAUCGAUUUCUCUCCCUAAGAUGUGUUGUCUGGGUGGCUUUCUAGUCGGCUGAUCCGAAGGAUCGAGACCCCAGUUGGUGGGAUGCUUGGCCUCUACUUUUCAGUGUCGAAUUGGACUAGCGUCUUUGGAUUUGGAGUUUCUUUGGUGUGUCUGGGUUGCUUUGUUGUACAUACCGAGGGGAUUGAGAGGACCAGCCUAAUUUUGGGGGAAUACCCGACCAAUGGUUGCAGGUGGGUCUCUUCCAACACCCUCCCAAAUUUAGAAGCUGCUUCUAAGGCUGCGUGUCGUGCCCCUACCUAGGAAUGCGCCCGGUUUGUGACUUACACGAUGGUGUUAGGAGCGUAACUUGGUCAUCGAGUUUGCUAACCUUAACGUGACUGCCAUCAACCAACUCUAUAACUUCAUUCUCCUUGACGGUGAUGUGGCCAAAAAGGGUAUUUAUGAUGAUGAGAUAUUUGGCUGGGAUUGGUAAGGGCAUUCUUUGAAGAUCACUUCCUUCCGUACAUGAUUUUUGGUACUAUCAUCCAGACAUGAGAUGUACUUGACACCGGUCGGGGCCUAGUAAAUAUACGGCUGGAUACAUGUGUUAGACGAGGGCAACAAUCUAGGGGGGGGGGGUGAAUAGAUCACGAUUUUUUUUUGGAUUAAAAAUAUGUCUUUAAAAAUAUUUUCUAUGGCAAGCGUAAGCGAUUCCUGAUUGACACUCGUCUAUCCCAAACUGUUAUAAGAAGAAUCAAAUAUGCGAAUAAAACUAUAACAAAAACAAAUUAGUGUACCACAAUGAUGAGACAACAAAUCAAUAAGUUUUUCAAAAUAACGUUUUAACAAUUUUACACUUUGAUAAUCAAUUUCCAAUGAAAUUAAGAAACCAAAAUUGACUAUGACAAUUUGUCAAACACUUGGUGUGUAGUAAACACCAAGCUGAUUUUUCCUUUGUGUUGUUGAUGUGAAAAUCCAAUUGUAAGUUUAUAGAUUGCAAUUAUCUUAACAAAAACAAUUUGCGAUAUUUUAACACCAACGAAAUUAUCAAUAUAUGAAAAUUUUCACACCAAAUGAGUUUACAAAUUUUAAAUAAAGUAUGUGAACAAAUUAGUAAAAAAACACACACAUGCACACACACACACACACACACACACACACACACACACACACACACACACACACACACAGAGAGAGAGAGAGAGAGAGAGAGAUAGAUAGAUAGAUAGAGAGAGAGAGAGCAUACAAAGAUUUAUUUAGACAGUUCCCCAACCGUCCUCACUACGGGUACGUCUUCCCCCAAUUCCAAUGAAUUAAGAUAUUCAAUAAUCUUUGAAAAAUGUUGAAUACAAGAGAGAAAUAGAAAUUUAAACCCACAAAUUCCAAAUUUGAUGUUGAUUUUAUCUUCUUCUCUUCUCUUGAUCUUAAGAAAGAUCAAGUGUCCUAAUAUUUUCAAUUUAAUCCCCCGGUUUCUCUAAUUCUUUGACAGAAACUCCUUUCUUUAAAGCUUUCACUCAGCUGGAUCCUAUUUGCAAAAUCUUGUGCCAAACGCCCUCAAAUCACACUUGAUCUUGGAGGGAAAACCCCAAUUGAUAAUCUCAAACCAAUUUGAUUUUACAAAUCCUAAAUUGGACCUUAUCAACCUUGAAUCUAGAUGGGCCCCAACAAAAAUGAUUAUGUGUAAUUAUUGUAUGUAUCAAUAGAAAAAGGUUGGAGAUGAUGACAAUUGCUUUGUAAAUUAUUUGAUUUCAUCUCAUUUGAAAAAGAUGCAUUAUGAAGAUGCAUUAUUAUAUAAUAUAUAUAUAUAUUAUAUAUAAUAUAUAUAUAUAUAUAUAUAUAUAUAUAUAUAUAUAUAUAUAUUAUAUUACACACACACACACACGCAAGUUGUUGGAAUUUUUAGACAACAUGUGUCGACGUAUAGAAUCAUUUUUGCUUCUAUGCGUCUACCUGAAGACUCAAUGCGUCGACCUGAAAUGGACCUAGACUUUGCUUGUGCCAAAAACCCAGUAUGCAUCGACCUAUAGGACAUAUACGUUGACCUGAAAGAUUUAUGCAUCUACCUGAAGUGCUUAUACUGAAUAUAAACUUUUACAUGUCAAUCUAAAGUGCUUAUGCAUCGACACAUACUGAACAUAAACUUUUAUGUGUCAACCUGAAAAAUUUAUGCAUCGAUAGGUACUGAACAAAAACUUUUAUGCGUCAACCUGAAAACUCUAUGCGUCGACACAUACAAAACAUAUACAUUUAUGCAUCAACCUGAAAACUCUAUGCGUUGACACAUACUCUAGUUUUUCACAUAAAAUCUUAAUUUUAACUUGUAAAAACAUUUCUAAACUGAUUUUAAGUAUCCUAAGGUACAAAAGCACAUCUAGACUUAGAGGAUAAGGUCCAAUAUACACAAAUGCUAAGUAUCCUAGUUUUGACAUCUUUCAAAACAUUUAUAAAAGGAAAGUGCACUCACAUACUCCCCUUUUUUAUGAUGGCAAAACGUUAGAAGUAUUUGAUGUCUUGAUAAAAUAUCCCUCUGAAUAUGUGCACCUUAGAGACUUCGUUCUUACAUGGAUUUCUCCACCUUUGACAACAUCAAAAAGAGACAAAACCACAAAUGUAAGAAGCAUCAUUUAAAUCUUGCAAAAAGACAUAUAACACUCAGAGGCGUUGCAAGUACAAUAAUAACGUGCACUCACAUUUCAUUAGAAUGAUGUUAAAGUUAAAAUUUCCUAAACAUAAAUAAAUGUGUAAUUCAUACAAAAUUAUAAGGAGUUCAUUACAAACACAUCAUAACAUUUUCAAAACAGAAAAGCAUAAGGAUGUAACAAAUAACAUGAAAGAUGAGAGAUAAAGUGCAUGCAAAAUAGGUUCCAAAUAUGUGGUCCACAAUCAUUUUUUUUGGCUUUAGGUCGACCUCUAAGGUAAUGAGUCGAGGCAUACUGUGUGAAAUAAAAAAAAUCAUGUAAAAACUUCAUUUUCAUGCAAGAAUCGAUAAAUAACAUGCUCAAAUACCAAACUCUCCAAAAAUAUUUCUAGUUUGAAGAUAUAAGGGCAUGGAACACAUUGAAUAAUGAUGUAAUAAAAUGAAGCCACUAUAAACAUAUAGAUUGAAAGCACAUGGUUUAACAUUGGAAUUUUUAGAAGUGAAAUAUAUCACACAUUUUGGAACAUAAACACACAAUCACAUAUGAGAGGCAUAUAAGCAAUACAUGAAGAAAAAAAACUUACGAACAAAGAGACAAGUGAAACGGUACUAUCUUAUAGGAUAAAAUACGGAGGAUGCACUCACAUGAAAUUGAAUUUUCUAACGAAAGUUGAAACAAAUGUAAAGAGUGCAUGCAACAAAAUAUUUAGGAAAGAUUUGAGAUUGAUGCAAAUCAUUUUCUCAAUAAAUUGGACGAAAAAGGAACGUAAUGUAUAUCACAAACUCCCGAGGGUUGGGAUACGAGGUGUAUAUCUCGACCAUCCUUAUGUUUGUCGUCCAACCAGAAGCACCUAAUUACAUUAAGCCCUUUCAUAAAUAAGAUGAAAAAGGAACGUGGUGCAUAUCACGAGCUCUCGAGGGUUAGGUUACGAUGUAUAUAUCUUGACCAUCCGAGCGCUCGUCAUCACCCAAAAAUAUAUUGUCGCCACUGCGAAAAACAACCAGCGAAAAAAGAAAGACAGAAGAGUCGCCACCGUGCGUUAUUUAUCCCAAAGGAAGGAAAGGAAACGCUCGAAGAAAACCUGAAGAAAAAGGAAAGGAAAAGACAAGGUCUCGCAACCAAAUCUUGGGUUCGGGAGUCGAUUAUGCUAAGGGAAGGCAUUAGCACCCCUACGCAUCCGUAGUACUCUACGGGAUCCACUCUUGUUGUUCUUGUCUAAAGGGUGUGUGUUUAUCUAAGGUACUAUUUACUAAAAGAGGGUCAAAAGAAAAUGACUCGCACGGAUGUCGCAUCCACUGCAUACGUAUCUCAUCUGAACAUGAGAAUUAGAGUCUUCGUAGCUCGGCUACCUAUGGGUUAAAGAGAAGUGUGCUCGCUAAGACAUUGCGUCUUAUGCCUACGUAUCUCAUCGGGAAUGAGAAUCAGAGCAAAACAUAGUUCAACUAACUACGGGAACAAGGGUCUCGGUUGCAACUAGGGUAAGAGAAAGGGAAGGUCUCGAUCGCAACGAGGGCGAGAGAAAAUAAUCGCAACAAGGGCAAAAGCAAACAAAGAUUAGUUGUUAGUUGUCAGUCAAAACUCGGCAAGACAUCACAUAUCGUGCCUACGUAUCUCAUAUGAACAUGAGAAUCAGAGUUGUCGUAGUUCGACUAACUAGGGGUUAAGGAUUGCCAUAUGAACAUGGACUUACAAAGGAGGACACCAGCUGUGUCAAGGGAGAGUGGGAAAUGUGUUCACGUCCUAGCAGUAGGUGUCGCAGCUCAUUGAAUCGAGUCUUAGGCAGUUACCUCUCUGCAAUAGAACGGACUGACAUGCCACAGGAUCGGAGACGCACGGAAGGUCUGAAAGUGGGGAAGCUCUGCCCUAGAGUUGUCAUGCAAUGUGGACCUAUGUGUUAGGAUUUACAAAAGGGAACAUCUACCUAAUGUUAGCAUGCAAAGAGUAAGGGAAUUCUACCUAUGUUAUCAUACAAAGAAUAAGGGAAUUCUACCUAUGUUAUCAUACAAAUAAAAAGGGAAUUCUACCUAUGUUAUCAUACAAAGGGUUCUACCUAAUGAGUGCUACCUAAACGGAACAAGAGUCGACGGAUGGAGCACAGAAAGGAACCAGGGAUAAGGGUAGAUGGCGAUGCAUGAAGCAAUCGGCUUACAGGUAGAUGGCGAUGCAUGAAGCAAUCGACUUACAAGAGAAAUGGCGAUGCAUGAAGCAAUCGACUUACAAAAGGAUGGAUGAAUAUGUGCUGGUUCUGUUAAGUUUUGAAAAUGAUUACUCGACGUUGGAUCGAGCUUUUGAUUAGAAAUGGCGAUGCAUGAAGCAAUCGACUUACAAAAGGAUGGAUGAAUAUGUGCUGGUUCUGUUAAGUUUUGAAAAUGAUUACUCGACGUUGGAUCGAGCUUUUGAUCUUGUUUUGAAAUGGUUAUCAAAUGUUCAUUUUAAUUCUUGUAUUAACAGAUGAAUAAAUAAUGAAAGAAUAAACAUUAUACACUUCAUGGGAGAGGGGUACAUUUGUUAUGAAUGGGGAUUGUUCAUGGCAAUCAAACAAUGAGAAUAUAUAUGCCUCAUACAUCAUACAAGUAGGCAACAAUCAUUAAUCAAUAAGAUAAAUAAACAGGUAUAUGAUCAAAUCAAAUAAUCAAAGAAUGAAAUGAAGGAGCAUUAAACAAUAUCUGGAAGUAUGAACAUGUUAAACAAUCAAACAAUAGUGAGUACGGAUGAAAGGGACAAGUAUAACAAACAUCAGAUGAAUCAGACAGAUGAAACUAUGCACACAAAGGAUCACUGAAUAAUUUAAUCGGGAAAUGAGGUGAGGAUCAAAUAAAAUCAAGAUGAAAGGCCUCUAAUACAUGGCAUAUGAGAUGAACAAGGGAGGAUCAAAAGAUCUCUUCAAUUGCCCUAAGCAAUCCCUAAGUCAAACAUCGAUCAUAGAAAAAUCAACCGAAAAGUCAAGUCAAUUUAAAAAUUAUCAAAUAAAUAGUAAAUUAAUCAAGAAAAAUAUGAAAAAUUAAACUAAAUAAGGUGGGGUCAGGACAUCAUCAUCCCCAAAAAAGAUUUUAAAAAUAAUGAGAAUUAGUGUAUAAAUCAAUUGAAAUAAUACAGAAGUCAAAUGAAAAGUCAACCAAACAAACUAGGUCACAAAUAAAUCCAAAAUAAAUUAAAAAUGGGAAAUAAAAUUCCAAGAAAAGGUCAGGUUGAGCAUGAGACAUUGGUCAACCCUCAUCCCAAAACUCAAAAGUUAAAAAUAAUUCUAAGUCAUGAAAAUAAAAUCAAGAAAUGAAUGUGUAUUAAAAUGAUUCACUUGAAAUAAAUAAUUAAAAUGAAAUAUUAACAUUAAAUAAAUAUGAAAAUAAAAAUUAAAUAAAAUUAAAUAAAACAUUAAGAAAUAUGAUUUUUUUUUUGGAUUUUUAUGAAAUAAGAAAAUAUUUUAAAACAAUUAAAAUCUAAACAGAAAAUAAAAUAGAAAUAAAAAAAUGAAAAUGAAAAUAGAAGGUAAUAUUGCUGAUGGGCCUGGAAGAAAGGGGGUGUGGGUAGCGAAACGCAUAAGCCCAGUCCAAACAAAUGAAAUUCCAGCGUGACAUUUAAAUGAAGUAACGUUUUAAUUAAAGAGCCAUGUGAACAUGUGUGUCAAUCGGUCCACUUGUGUUUUAAGUCACUAAAUGACAAAAGACCAUGGACGGACGAGAUCAUGAAACACACGCACGAUCUAGCGGUCUCUAUGACGACACCUCAUCGUCUCUUUCAUGCAACCUUGGAAAACCCUAGUAACAUGCAUGCAUACGCGAAAACAGCAGAUGCAUUUUGCUCAUCUUCCACAACGAAAUGCAAACAACUUAGUGCACCAAAUGACAUGGUAUAAAAAGCAAAGUUCAAGUAUGCAAUGAGUAGAACAUCAUGGUGUCUUGUUUUGGAUAAAAUAAUGGCCUUAGCAUGAAGAAAAUUGAGCAACAAGACAAGCAUAUAAACACGGAUACCACAGAAUUUUAACAACACAAACUCAAACUUAAUGACAAUGCCUCAUGUUGAGGGCUUCAUAAAUGAACAUAUCAUAACAUUAACAUGGAAAAUCAACAUGAAGCAAGCAUGGCAUAAUGGAAAACAAUAUGAAGUAAGCAUGAAAAACAGAAAUGAACAAGCAUGAUGAUAAGCAUGAAAUAUUGCCAUGGAAGAGAGUGAAAAACUUACCUAGUGGAAAUCAGUCCACUGCUUCUUGAUAGUAGAGGAAUGGAAGGAAAUGAGAUGCUCUUGGUGCUUCAAUGCUUGUGAAAUGGAAGAGGAAAGAAAUGGAUAUUUAACUUGCCUUGCUUGCUUGCUCUUGCUUAGCUCGAAAAUAGCAGCCACCACUACUUCAGAUUAGGGUUUAGAAGCUUAUAUAUGUUGGCUCAAGGUGUCCUUAAUGGGCUUAAAUCCAAUCUGAUUUGGUUAUGUGCAUUUGGAGCAAAAGUGGCAUGUGAGGUGGUAUUAGGAAAUGGCUCAUUUUGGCAAAGUUUAAGUGAGUAGAAACAAAGGUACAUGGCCAAAUGAGGAAAAGAAUGUGGGCUGGUUGGUUUGUGCAGCAUGGCAUGGAAAUAAGUCCAAGAUGGUGACUUUGUGACUAUGUAUCUUGAUGAAUACAUGACAAAAUGACAAGGCAAUGCAAACAGUUGGAAGAGUUCAUGGAGCUUAACAUUUUUCAUGUUGGGCACAAAUUGCAAUGAUGAGUGGAAAGAGGUGAAAAAUGGCCAUAAAAUCGUGUCUCACCGUCUGCAAAAUGGCUGGGCCAGUUUGGCCUAAAUGCUGCCUAAAAAUUCAGUUCAUGAUGCCAACUUUAGAUGAGUGCAUCUCUCAAACCAAUGAUCCAGAUGGGAUGAUUCUAAAAGGAUGUGAAAGAGGACAUGGCAAGGUAUAAUUGUUAUGAAGAAAAUAUUUUCAAAAGAAUGCUUGAAGUGCAAGAAAUCUGGCCAAGAAGUCUUGACAAAUUUUGUAGAUUUUGGACUUAAAUUUUUUCUAAGUGUCUUAGAAAAAUGUCUCACUUUGACCAAGCAUAACUUUCUCAAAUUUCAUGUUGGAGAAAUUUUCAAAUGGAGCUUGCAUCUUGAUGGAAAAUGGGCUUAAAGUGUGUGCAACAAUCAUGAAAACUUGCCCUAAAUGGGAAGUCAACCAUUUCCAAAUUUAGUAACUUUUCCAACUCCUGAUUAAAUGAUGAAUCCAUGAUCCAACCUUUAUCAAAUUUCACAUGUAGGCUCCCUUAGGCAUGGAUUUUGAGAUUCCACUCUCAAAAUGUCAAGACUUGACUUUUUUGGCCCCACAGUUGACUUUUCCCAAACUGUCUGAUCCUCGAUUCCAUUGAUCAAUUGAAGCACUUCUAGCUCAAAUAAAGAGCUGAUUUUUUGUAUGUAGACCCUUGUGGACAUAUGGAGGGCCAUGGAAAAGAGUUUCACCUAAAGAAUCAGAAAUAAACUGAUUUUAUACCAAACCCUAGUUUUAGGGCAAAAUGAUCAAGAACUGAUUGCACUGAUUGCCAAUGGAUCUUCCUGAGAUAAUUGUGAAUCUUCCUAGGCCAAGAUGCCUCUCUAAUAAUGAUAUGGAUGAGCCCCUCUACUUCCAACCAAACAUUGCCUGUUGCAGAUAGCCAUGAAACCCUAAUUUCUGAUUAAAUCCUGAUGCACACUCUGAGAGCUCUGAAUCCUCCAUUGAUGAACUGCAGACCACAAUAAGAUACCUGGACCACCUUGAGACCCUUGAGACUUGUAUACUUGGAGAAUGAAGUCCAAUUCUCAAUCUUUCUUUGUAUGGGCUCCUUCUGUUAAGGAGUGAUCAAUCAAACCCUGAUUUCGAAGUUACUAAUGCAAUAUGCAAUGAGUAUGACCUAGUAUGAUGCUAAUGCAGUGUGAAACAUAAUCCCAUGCUUCCAGAAAAAAUGAAGGGUAAAUUUUGGGGUAUUACAUAUAUCUAACACAAUCAAUUACUUUGACUUUUGGCCUAAUCUCAAACUUCUUUUUCAAACUAAAGAUGUUUCGUCUCGAGACGAUGUAAAACAAUGCUUCAUCCAUAUAUGUGCGAGUGAGCUAAGUGGAAUUUUCCCGUGAAUGUUGAUAUUAGAAAUACCUUAUGUUAUGAUCAAAACGCCCCUUUCUCUAACUAUUUUGGGUAAGCAAUGUUUUCCAUUUGAUUGUGACAAAAUAACUUUCACUAAAUUUGACCCACAAACAAACAUUUUCUACUCAGAACUACGUAGCCUUGAGUUCUCCAUCACCCCCAGAGAUACAUAAGAGCAAGACUCGCAAUCUUGUCACGCACCUUAAUAAAAAACAUUUUUGUGACCCCUUUAUUUUUCUCUUUGGAUUUUUAAACUAGAGAAAACAAACAUUUUUAAGCUAACACUUUUGCACUAAACUAAUUAAAUGGUUCCUAUUGAGUUCAACAGACGUGAAAUGUGCUAAUACCUUCCCCUUGCGUAAUGACUCCCGAACCCAAUUUGGUUGUGACGACCAUAUCUUUUUCAUCUUUUAAGGGUUUUAUAAAUAUUUACCCUUUCCCUUUUUGGGAAUAAAUAAAGUUCGGUGGCAAAUUUGUUUAUCACCAUUGAGUGUGCGAUACGCUCAUGGUCGUAUUUUUUGCACCGCGACAACUGGCCUCUCUGUUGGGGAUAUGACCCAAAAUAUUUGGUUCCCUAAGAGAGAGUCAAGCCUAGUUAUGUUUGGUUGUGCUAUUCUGUUUGAUUUAUUUGUUUGGCUUUACUCUAUCUUUUGUUUUUGUUAUCUCAUGUGUGUUUCCAUUGUUAUCAUGUAUAUGUUGUAUUGCUUCAUUAUGAUGUUGCUAUUAGAUUGGAUAUUCUGAUUGAUUUGACACAUUAUGAGAGAUGAAUUUACACACAAGUCUCGAGAAAACAUAAGAUAGGACGAUGGUUGCGUAGUGAGGGCCUUUCAGGUGUAUAUAUCGCGUGGUCGUCGUGAACACAUCAUUUAGAGUAGAUCCUCUUGAGAGUGUUGUUGCCCGACAAGUAUUUGUUGUAAGCUUCAAUAUUUUCAUAGGGGUCAGUGACUUUAAUAAACUUUGUAUAACAUUAAACCCUUUUGCCUACUAGGAAUGAUGGUUGUGUAGUAUGGGUAAGCGAGGCGUAUAUCUCGUGGGGACGAUACAAGAACCUCACUCAUAGUAGAUUCCCUUGAAGGAAUUAACGUCCGACAAGUAUUUUUCGUAAGCGGUAAUCAUUUUUGGAGAAUCCAUGAUUCUGGGAACCUUUCAUAGAACCUUGAAGUCGACGUUUGCGUAGUGCAGGUCUGCGAGGUGGAUAUCUCAUGGGGUCGACAUGAAAACUCACCUAGAAUAGAUCCCUUAGAGGAAUUGACGCCCAACAAGUAUUUGUAAACCCUAGAUCAUACCUGGUGAUAUCUAUGACUUUAGGAACCUUUAAAAACUCUAGAUCCUACCUGGUGAGAACCUUACAUGAACAAAGCAAACAGAUUCAUACAUGACCUGAAAACACUAGAAGUGUUCAAAGAAAAUUUCCAUAACAGGUUCAUACAUGACUUGAUGACAACUUGAUUAUUUAAAUAAAGUUUCAACUAU
RNAcentral lists this long non-coding RNA (60725 nucleotides) under Lathyrus oleraceus (garden pea). RNAcentral's name for it is "Pisum sativum (pea) long non-coding RNA (PSAT_LNC010339)". Lineage: Eukaryota; Viridiplantae; Streptophyta; Magnoliopsida; Fabales; Fabaceae. The record is from RNAcentral.